Molecule: long non-coding RNA, 44277 nt
Filed under: Manihot esculenta (cassava)
Lineage: Eukaryota; Viridiplantae; Streptophyta; Magnoliopsida; Malpighiales; Euphorbiaceae
Description: long non-coding RNA (MESC_LNC005175)
Source: RNAcentral
AUUCACUUGCUUCUCCUCAGCAUCCAUUAGCACAGCUUUCACAGUCAACAAGAUAUCCUCAAGCUUUCUGAGUUCUGCUUUCAAGCCCCAUGCAAAACAUAUCUCUUGGUAGGUAUGGGAUGCUAUCUUCUCCAACACUUUCUCAGCAAUAUUAAAAGCCAAUGACUCUAUUGCCAUUUUUGUGGAUUUUGAUUUUUAUCUGAGUGUGAACUGAGAUAGAUAACAAAAUUUGAAUCAAAUCGAAUCGAUUUUGAUCAUAAAUCAAAUCGAACCAGUUUCAUUCGAUUCGAUUUGAAUUUUUAAUUAUUUUUUUAUUUUUUCACUUUGUGUAUUAUUUUAAAAUUUAAUUAAAAUAUUUUAACCUUAAUAUGAUUUAAUCUCUCCAUAUUAUUGAAAAUAAUAUAUUAUUAUCAUUUAUUAAUUCGGUUUGAUUUUUUUAAUUUUUUUAUUAAAAUAUAAUCAAACCGAAAUAACCAAAAUUUUUAAAAUUGAAAAUCGAACUGAACUAAAUUUUUAAAUUAAUUCGAUUCGAUCAAUUUUUUCGAUUUGAACCGAAUAUUACUCCUCCCUAAAUACAAUAUUGAAUUAAACUUCAUGUAAAAAAUAUUUUUCAUUUAAUAAAAAAAUUAAGUUUCUUUUAAAGAAUAUGAAUUUUUUUUUUUAAAGGCUAAGUGAUUUUUAUAUUUUAAUAAUUUUAUUAAAGCCAUUGUAUAUUUUAUAUAUAAUUAUUAACGUCGUUUCUUUUUAAAUAUUUUUUUCAACAAUGAAAAGUAAAUUAUUUUUUAAAAAAACUCACGAAAAUUAUUUUCUGGGAUAUUUUCUUUGGUCCAUUCUCUUGUUUGCCUUGUUACAAGUGUUUCAUAUCCUAAUGGCUAACUUUUUUAGUAAUGAAAUAUAUUUCUUCAUAAAAUUUUAAAUUAAAGGGGUAUUAUAUAAAAAAAAUUUUAAUGUUUACUAUAAUUAAUAUUUAUAUCUAAUAUUUUGAAUUUUAAAUAGUAAAUUAAAUUUUUUUAUUUUAUUUAAUUAUAGAUAAAAGGAUUAAAUUGAAUUUGAAAAAAUUAAUGGUAAAUUAUAAUAUAGUUUUAAAAAUUUUAUAUUAUUAAUAAAAUAUAAUUUUUUAAUUUAAAUUUUAUAUUAAAAUUAAAUAUAUUUUAUAUUUAUUUUAUGUAAUAAUAUUAUUAUAAAAAUAAAUUUUUAUCAUAUAAAACAUUACAUAUAAAUAAUAUAUUAAAAUAUUUUAUUGAAUAUUUAUAUUUGAUAUUAUAAAUUAUGUGUAUAUUUUUUAUAUUUAAAAAAUUUUAUUUUUUAUGAAUUUUUAAAUAAAAUAAAAUAUUAUAUAUUUUAAAUUAUAAUUUUCUUAUAUUUUAAAUUUUUAUUAAUAUCUAUGAUAUUAUAUAAAAGUGAAAAUAAGGAGUGAAUAAUGAAAUUAAUAAAAACUGAUAUUGUUAUAAUAAAAAUAUGUAUUUAAAUCUUCAUUUAUUAUUUAAAUAAAAUUUUAGAGAUUAUAUUAUAAUUUAAUAUAGUUUAUAUAAAUUUAAUUUAAUUUUUUUAGUUAUAAUUAUAAUAAAUUAAAAAUAUUUAAUUUUAUAAAUAUAAAUGUAAAUCAAUAUCCCCAAAUUAAAAUAUGUAAAUUGUGUUUUUUUAUUUUUAACAAUUUUUUAUUAUAUUAUUGGCAUAUGUAAUUAUUGGUUUAUGAAUCUAAUUUAAUGAGUUUCUUAAAAGAUAAAGUAUAACGUAGUUUUGAGAUAAUCAAAAUGCCUUUAUUUUGUUUUUUUUUGCUAAUAAUAAUUUGAUCUUAACGUUUGAUUUUGUUAACAGAUUAAUACCUACAGUCUAACUUGAUUAAUAGCUCCAUUGACUACUUUCAUUUUAAAAUAAUUUAUUUUAUAAUUUUUUUAUCAACAUAAUAUGUAAUAUUUAAACCUAAUUUUUUUAUUUUAAUAAUUAUAUAUUUCAUCUAAAUACAAUUUAAAAUACUUUUUUUAAUAAUUAUAAAAAUAAUUGAUUAAUUAAAUUUAUAUGCAAACACUGUUUUAUUAAUAAUUAAAUUAUUUCAAUUUAAACAUAAAUUAAAUUAACAAAAUCAAAUUUUAAAGACUAAAAAUAAAUUACAGAAAUCUCAAUUCUCACGGGACUUUUCCCAAUUCUUAUUUCAAAAAAGACGAAUUAAUAUGGGACUUUUGACACAUCUCAAUGACAAAAAUUUUCAUCAAUAUUAACUAUACGGCCGCGUAGACUUAAUUUAACAUUCUGAUGAUAAAACAUAAAAUCAUUAAUUAUUCAUUUUAAAUUAUAUAUUUUUUACGGUUAGCUUCCAAUACCAUAGUGCAUACAAAUUUCAAUUAAUAAACUAAAAUUCAUGGUAUAUUUUUUAUACCGUUUAAUUCUUUAAUAAAUACAUUACUAAUAAUUUAAGUAACAGUAUCUUCAUAAAAAUAUGUUACAGCAGGUUGACAAUGAUUUAAAAUUGUUAUAAAAAAAUUUAUGUAAAUGAUAUAUUUUAAUAAAAAAUUAUUUUAUAUUUAAUAAAAUUAUAAUUUUAACUACACUUUUUAUCCGUCACACAAAAUAAUUAAAUCACUACUUAGUUUUAACAAGAAAAAAAAAUAUAUAAUAAUCCCAUUGUAAACAAGCAAUAGAAAAACCACAUUCUAAAAAUGAAAGAAAUUACAAUAUUAAUCCCAUUGAUGUGGAUCCAAUUCAUCCUCACGUUUUUUCCUUCCAGAAAUUAGUUCUUUAUGCAUCCACUGCUUUCUUCUAAAUAUUCCAAGAUUUAAAUUAAUGCUACAGUAUAACAUGAUCUUUCCAACUUGAUUCUUUAAAUCACAUAUAAAAACAUUAAUGCCAAAGAAACCAUAAACACACCUGAAUCUGACUCACAUUUAUUUGAUUCAUUCAGUAUAGGCAACAGCAUUUGUCAAUCAAACCCAUUUCCAGGAAAGACUACGCAAAUAAAAAGAAACAAAGAUCCCAUCAUCUCAACUGAUCAUGGCUGUAUUGGGGUACUAAAACCAGACAAAACAUUACCAAUAAAAGGCAUUAGCUAUAAAUAACGCAGAUGAUCACCAGCUAAAAUUACUUCACAAUGAAGUUCUGGCGACUGAUUGGAUUCAUCACAACUGGAGAACAUAUUCAUCUAUGUUAUUAAAAAACAAAAACAAACAACAUCCCAAGCUUUCUCAAUGGUGUGGGCUUUUACCACAUUUCCGAAAGCUUUAGAUCUGACUCUUAAGUUCAACUCGGCUGUGGUUCUCAGGAAAUCUAGAAUUGAAAAAGAACUGAAUUUAUAGAAAUCAAGCUAAAUUUAUGUUACUUCUUGAUCUGAUUCCAGUUCUUUACCAAAAUCUGAAUAUAAAACAAAUAUAACCUGAACCAAAGCCAAAACCUAGUGAACAAAUAUAUAUGCAAUUACAAUGAAUUUCAUUAUAAUUAAUUAGGGGGUAAAUUUUACCCAUGGUACCUAAACUUCAAUUGAAGUAACCAAAAAACCACAUUUCACCUAUUAGCGAGUUUAGAGGUUAAAAUAAGUUAAUUUAUUAUUUAAUUUUUAAAUACAGUUAAAUAUUACUUCAAUAUCCUCAUGUAAAAAUAUCUCUUCUCUCAUUCAUCCCUUUUCCCUCCCACCCAGUUGUCCUCCACCCAUUCUCUAAAUGAACUCUUUCAUAAAGCUUCUUCAGCACCACUGAGCUUAAUGAAGUCGGGCAAAAUAUUGAAGCAAUCUUCCAGAGUAUACUUGAAUUGAAAAAGAAAUAAAUAACAGAAGGGAAAAAGCUAAUUCCUAAUUAUGAUGUGAUGUAGCUAUUUACCAUGAGGUCAAGCUUCUGCAAUGGUGGUAUAACUGAGAUCUUUUGCCAAAACAAAAGACACCUCUCACAGACAUUCAACUCCAGAGAUCCAAAACCCCUAUCAUCUCAGUGGGUCAACCACUGUCUAAAGGUAAAAAACUCCCUCUCAAGGUUUAGUUUCUCAGAUUUCAUCAUUCUCUAUUUGGGACACUUGCUAGCUGAUGAAUGUGUAGAAUACUUUGCUUCAAUGUUAUAGUAGUUGAUGCUUUUUUUUUUAUGGGCUCCAUGGAAUGGUUUGUGUAAAGAUAGAUUUAUGAAGUGGGCCUCGGUAAAUUUCACAAUCUAAUGGAUGGAAAAUUGAGCUGAAGGGAAGCUUUAUUCUAUUGAAGGAAGAUAGUAUUGGUUUAAUAAGGGUGUUCUGAGUAUCUCAGUAAGCGGUCUGAAAACCUUUUACAAUAUGUUUGGAUGGAGCGAAAGGAGUUUUUAAAAUGAAGAUAAACUAAUGGAAAGUAAGGUAAUAAAACCUCUAUAACCCACCAAUUUGGUACUUUGGAAAAGUGAGUUUUUGGAGGUUCUAAACGUCUGGAAACCUUACCUCCUUUAAACUAAUAAAAAAAAAAGUCUCCCAAACAAACUCACUACUUUACAAAUCCACAUCUUACUUCCAAAACAUCCACCCAAACAAAUUAAUGUUUUUGGAAUUUCUCAACACGUGUUACAGGGAUUUAGAAUGAGAAAUGGGUGACAUUGGCAAUUGAAUUAAAAAUGUUUCAAUCUUUUUAGCAGUUCAACUUAUUGUCUGGAGCUUGAAAAUUAAUGGCUGAACUGUUGUGAGUCAUCAUUUCUAUAUGAUAUCAUAGCAAGGAAAUUUGCAAUUGAAGAAAAAGUUGAGAUAAGAAUUUUUGUGCAGUUAUUAUAAAAAAUGCAAAUCCCAGAAUUUACAGUAUAUAAGUAACAUCACCAUUUGAUGUUUUGUGAUUAAGAUUGUUCAUUUCUCUAUGAAUAUUUGUUUACAUUUUGGAGUUCUAAUUUUAUUGUUUUCCAUUGUUAAUUUUGAUUGUGUUAUCCAGAUACAUUGCCAGAGCCCAGAGGUGAUAAUGUUGUUGUGUAGAUUUAAGCCUUUUUUAUAUAUUUUUUUUCUUUUGGUAAUGGUUUUGUAGAUUAACCGGCUUUCUUUGGACAUGAAGGUAGAUACUUUUGAUAAAUUAGCUGACAACUUUGGGGCUACAUGACAAGCUUCUUUUUGUCUGUAUGUUUGGAGGAAGUAUAACAGGUUUCUAGUUGAUAUUGCUAUCAUGCCUUCUUUGAAAUAAGUUCUCUGCAUAUUUUCCUUUUUCAAUCAUUUGUAUGAUUUAACUGAAACCUAAUCCAACAUAUCCCACCAAUCUGCUUAUUGACCUAUAGCCUAAGAAUAAGGAAGUCGAUUCCCUUAUAUCUUAACUGUGCAUAAGGAACUCAAAAUCUAUAGACUACAAGUGAUGUGUUGCAAGGUGUUUCGACCAAUUGAAAUGCUAAAAUAGUAGCAUCCGAUAAUAUGUUAUAUUCUUCUCUGUAUAUUAAUUUACGGAUUUACAUAAUUUAUUUCAUUGGGCAGAAAUCUCCCCUAUUAGAAUAAUAUAAAAAAGACCAUACAACUCAUGAAUCUCAAACACCACUGCCAUCCUAGAGUGAAGAAAAAAUGCAAAUGCCGUCACUUAUGAAAAUUGAGCUCAAAUAUUCACAUAGAAAAAGUGGAUCCAGGGAAAACAAAUCUUAACAAAGGAAAGCAAGUCCACAAACAACCCAAAUAAAACAGUAGAUGAUGUAAUGUAAGCCACAAUCUCAGCAAAUCAGAAAACCCCGAAUAUUAGCAAUCUAUGAAUCUGAACACCCAAAGUUAACAAUCUUUGAAUCUGAAAACCCAAAAUUAACAAUCUCAGCAAAUCCUCUGAAUCCGAUACUUCAAUAUCAAGACAUAAUCGAAAAUGAAGUGCUUAGAGAACCAGCAAAACUGAGAAAGUAAUAAAAUUAACAACCUCCGCAAAUCUGAAAACCCACUAACCUGCGGUGAUGUAAUCGGGACCGUGAGUGGACGUUGAAGGAUUAUGAGCAAUUAAACACACACUAACCUGAAAUCCAAACCACAAGAACACAAAUCUCAGCAACCUCGAACCCAUAGAAUCCCAAACCCACAAACAUAGCAACACAAACCAAGAGAAACAUAACCUGCAGAAACAGUAGCAGCGGGGGCAACUGAGAGGAGCCCGAGAGAGAGAGAGAGAGAGAGAGAGAGAGAGAGAGAGACCGCGAAGAGCCGGGGGGUGAGAUCGAGAGGAGAGGGAGGGAGACCGAUUGUCAGGGUUUAGAAUGUUUGUUUCUACUUUGACGUUUUUACUAGGAAGAAUUAUUAUUUAGGUACCAUAUAAUUACAAAAUUUAUGAGUUAAUUUAUCAAUUUAACAAAAUAUCUGAAAAAUAAUUUAUAUUUAAAAAAAAAAUUUUAAUAUAUUUUUUAAAUAAUUUAUUUUUUAUUAUUUAAUUUUAAUUUAAAAAUAAAUUUUAUUAAUAAAUUUAUAUAUAAAAGUUUUAAUAAAAAUUUUUUGAUGAAAAAUUAUUUUUUUAAAAUAAUUUAUUUUUUAUUAACUAAAUUUUUUAAAUAUUUUAUAGAUUAAAAAAUAUUAAAAAAUAUUUUUAUAAAAUAAACAUAGUCCAAAACAUUAUUAGUGUUAUAAAAACUCUCAUUAAUUUAUGCUAUGAGUACUUUUAUUAUUAGCAAUCAAGAAUUUCAUGGUUUUAUUGAAAAUAUAAAGUAAUUUCCUAUAAAUUAAUUCUUUAAUAUAUUCUUAUGGUUUUUUUAUCUUAUCUAUGAUUAUAAUAAUUUGUUCAUAUGUUUAAUAUUAUUUAUAAUUUUUUAAAUGAGAUGUUAAGAAUAAAUUUGGUAUUUAGUAUAAAGAAAAAAGAAAAGGUAAUUUCAACUCUUUUUAUUUAGUAAAAUUUUCUUUUAUAUUUUAUAACAAAAUUUGAAUUUAAAUAUUUAUAAAUUUCUAUGGUAUUUUAUUUAUUUCAAUAGUUAUUGAACUCUUUUCUAAGAUUUAAAUAAUUUAUUUUUUAAUUUAUAAAUAGAGAUUUAAUGCCGUUAUAGUUUUAGGGAUUAAGUGACUAUUUUAAAAAAUUUGUGGAUUUAAAUAGUUAUUAUAAAAUAUUUAAAAGUUUAUAUGAACCUUUUUUUUUAAGAGUUUAAAUGAUUUUUUAGUAAUUUUUGAAGGGUUUAAAAGAAUUUUUUUGCUCUUCUUUAAAAUAUUGUUUAUAAAAGCAAUAAUAAAAUCAUAAAAUUUAUAUUUAAAUAAUUUUUAUUAGCAUAGUAGUUAUAUAAAGAUAAUGAUCACUUUCAUAAAUUUAGUGUCGUAUUAACAUAUGUAAACUAAUAAUAAAUAUUAUUAUUAUUGUUAUUAUUAUUAUUAUUAGAAUGACAGAUAUAUAUAGCAUAUGAAUAUUAACAACAAAGUAAUAUAGAGAAGGGAAGAUAUACAUAUUAGAAAAAAUAUUAUUUAAUUCUUAUAAUAUAAAAAUUUAUUAGCUAGUUCUUCUAUUUUAAAAAAUAUAUUUAAAUAUUCUUAACAUUAUAAAAAAAUUUACUAUACUUUUUUCAUUAAUUUUGACGGUAAUUAUUUUAUUAUUUAAUUUUUAUAAUUUAAAAAAAUUUAUGAGUUGGUCUUUUAAAUUUUUAAAAAAAAUUAUUAAUUAGCCCCUUAAUAUUAAGAGUAUUUUAGACUUUUUAUAAUAUGAUUAAAACUAACGGAGAGACUAACUAGUAAAUUUUUUAAAAUAUUAAGAAUAUUUUAAUGUAUAAUCUGAUAUCCAGAGAAAAUAGGGUUUUACAAGGUUUUUAGAAUAAUAAAAAACUUAGAGCUUAGGGGAAGAUCAUUCUCCUUUUAUUUCUUUUUCUCUUAUGCCAGUGACGUGCAACGGCCUGACUAUCAUUGGACCACCUGUCUCUGCCAUAUUGAUACGAUUGUACGAGGAUAUCCGGUAUCUGUCUCGUGCGUAACAGCCUCUGAUUCCCUUCGUGCGUGUGUAAAUGGGUCUACAAGGCUAAAGGUGGGACUUUCUUUCCGAUUCUGGGCUGGACCGGGAGAUAGGAAUAAUAUUGAGCCCAAGGAGGAUCAGCCUGAGAAGCAGUGAGGGCUGGGCCGGCCUGAGAGGCAAUGGGAACUGGGUCGGCCUGGUUGAGAAAUCCAUAUGGACCCUGUAUCAAGGCACAAACGGGCUGGACCUAUUUGUAUUGGGGUCGCGUGGGCCUCCGAGUGAUGGGUCGUGAUUGAGGCUUGAUCCCUGACCGGGGUGGAGAAAUCCAGCGGUCAUCAAUUGCCCCUUUACCUUCUCGGCAGUUAUUGCCCCAACUGUCGAGGGGGUAAACAUCAAGAAUCAUUAUGACCGCGCCUGUUUGAAUUCAGCUUGCUCCAUAACGCCCUUUCAUUUUUUUGUCACUUGUAGCUUUAAAUCCUCUCUGUCUUUUUUCUAUUUCUAGCUUUUCUCUGUUCUUCGUGCAUAUUGUUGUCUUCACUUUCUUGCCUUUAUCUUCCAGGUACGCUUUCUUUCCUUUCUUUUGAAUAGCCUUUAAGGAUUCUGAUGUCGCUAGCCUAGAGUAUAACGUCGCCCUGUCUCACAUUAAAAUCUCAGCCUCCGGCUAUAUAUCAAUAACACCUCCUUCUCAGCCUCAGGCUCUUUAUCGGGACAAAGGGAUCCCUCUUUCCGAUUCUCCUCCCUCUGGUUCAAUCGAUCUUCAGAAAGGUGCAAGUUUAGUUUUUUUUGUCAUGUGGAAGAGGUAUGGUUUAUCCUUCCCUUAUCUCCUUCUUUCAACGGGGUUUUCCAAUAUUUCGGGAUUGUUUCUCGGACGCUAGCCCCUGAUUUCACUCUCUUUAUGUUUUCUUUCGAAUCUGCUCUGUCUUUCAUGGGGGUCUGCUCUAACAUUGCUUUUGUGAUUUUUGCAGCCUUUGGGGUAAAGAUGAAUCGAAUUAAGCCCCCUAAGAUUCUUACGCCGCCCAUAGGGAGCUUGAACGUUGCUUCAGAUGUCUUCCUAACGGGGUGAUUAGCGGGGGAGGUUACUCGACGAGUCGCCAAAAUCAUGUUUUUCAGGUCGUCCAGACGGCCUCCUCCCCUUGCUCCUGUCUGAGCUCCGAAACCGAGUUUUCGCGGUGCCGAAUCUUUAAGGCGGCCAAGUAUUGACAAGUCCGUUUCAGCCGUGCUGGUUGUUCAAGCUCUCAGGUUCUCUCGGGCUUCAGGGCCGAGCGAGGACUCCGGUUUGACGACAGCGAAGCCUGCCCCGUCUUUUGGCGAUACUUCUGGAGAGAGGCCUGAGGCCUUUAUAGCUGAGAUGAGGACCCUUGCAAGCUGGGCUGAGAUCGCCUCUGCGAGGAAUGUUUAUGGGGUCCCUUCCGAGGUCGGUCCGACUGACGAGGAUAGGGAACCCGACUUUGUGGAUGCUGGGGGUGUAGCGGAGAAGGUCGGAGGCAAGUGUCCUAUUCUCCUCAAAGUGUUUGUCUUGGUUCGUGCUCCAAAGAAGUCUUGGGCUUCCGGAAGAUCGGCUCCUGUCUUUCUUUCUCCCGGGGAGGAGGAGAGGAUUCUCGUGGUGCCCCUGAUGUCUGCUCCUGACUCAAACUCAUGGAAUAACAUGGUUUCUGAGGCUUAUUAUGGGAUACAAGAUGCUGUUUACACACGUAAUAUUAGCAAGGGUAAUCUGAUAAAAUUAGUCCAACAUAGUAUGUGUGUAGAUUUGCAACAUUCACUUGUUCCAUUGCUCUUCAGAAUGCCUCGCCAAUUUUCCUCGGCUUGCUCAAGUGUAUCGUGCAUCACACUUGGGCGUCAGGAAGCCUGCCUAUGACGGAACAGUGAGAGAUGCUUAUGGGGAUUAACUUGUUCAACUCUCCUAUAAUAACGAGAUAGAAUUCGGUUGGUGAGUAGGGGACCUCUAAGGGAUUAGAAAGAGUCCGCCGAGCUAAAAGGGGAACAGGGUAGAUAAUAGCGCCUCUGGUUGUGUAAGUCCUUUGAGGACAGCUCUUUCUUCAGUGGAGUAGGCACUUGUAACAUGCUAUAAAUGUACUUUUCUUUUAAUGAAACUUUAGUUUUACUUAUUUUGCUUGCUGUUUCAACUUCAUCGGACUACUUAUUCUGUUAAACAGUCUGACUUGUUUAAAUUUUAAAGAUUUGACAAGAAACACUUAAGCUGUGCUUAAUAAACUUUGUAAAGAAUUGACUACAUCGUUUUUCAUCCCUUUGUCUCUCAGCUAAUAAGGCUGAAAAUUUUAACCAGGGAUUUAGUCUCUGACUCAUAAACUUUUCUUUUUUCACAAGGCAUUCUUAUCCGUAAGCUCUUUCCGAGCUGGGUUGGCCGCACUUUACGAGCUCUGUUUUUAACAGUGACAAGGCGUUCAAUUUACAAGUUUUUAUCCUUGUUACUUUAUUAAUGUAAGAUCGGGCGUAUAGCCUUUGCUGAGUAAUAAUGAGUCAAAUCAUGUACCUGUCGCGAUGAUGAGCAGGGCUCAUCUUUCUGCCUUUAGUUCUGUCUUGACAGGGACUGGAGCUGAGGUUUUAUCUGCUUCGUGCCAUUGGAUUUUCCUCAGAUUGCCCCCUUUACUUCCUCAGUAUUUAUUACAUGAAUAGUGAGGGAGUAAAUCCCUGUACUUUAUUUGUACUUGCACGGCUUUCUUUUAGGCGAUUUUACUUUGCUUUCUGGUUGUGAGCUUGGAUGUCUGGUCCUCCUCGAGGUGAUCCUUCGUCAGGCGGUGCAACUUAAUCUGCGUGCUCCAUUGGGACGGGGAGGUCGGCCUUUGUCAUUUUCCUUCUUCUUGGGUUAUUCUUGCUAAAUGUUUGUUCAUGGCAAACUGACUCGUGCUGUGAGCACAGUCCUUUGCCCUCGUUUAUCCUCUUAUAUGUUCCUGCAUUUAUAGGCCUUUUCAUAGAGGGAGCUCGGUUCUCUGUUAUUUUCUCUAUACUUAGCUUCAUUCUACCUGAGUGUUGCAUGUUGCGAGUCUAUCCGAGCUGGGAGCUCGGUUCUUUGUUCUUUACUUAGGCUUUUAUGCCUACAGUCUGUAACGCCUCUUGUAUCGCUAGCUCGGGAGUUCAGAAUUUCGCUUUGGUGCCCCGAGCUCGUUUGUGAGGUCGGACUUGGUUUGGGAGCUCGGUUCCUUGCCCUAUGCUUAGGCUUUUAUGCCUACAGUCUGUGAUGCUUCUUGUACCCCUGAGUAUUUUCCGGGCUCUUUGCUGUUUAGACCUUUCUCUAGGCUAGUUGAGCUAGUUCAGUUCCAGCGGUCAAUUCGUGAGGUUGAUGUAGUACCGAGCUCAUUUUUUGAGGUCGGCAUGGGGCUGUGGCGCUCUUGGCUAUUGUGCCCCGAGCUCCUUCGGGAGGUUAGAAUCUGGUUUUUCAUUGGUAGCUUAGGACUCAUCUUUCACGUGAGAUCGGAGCUGUGUUUUUAUGAGUUGUCCCUGCACAUGAUAUUGAGAAUUUUUGCGCCGGGAGGCCCUUAAGACCUUCACCGACCGUUUUUGUUUUGUUUUCCCGGGAGUUCUAGGGGAUCCCGUUCUUCUUUGUUUUCCCGGGAGUUCUAGGGGAUCCCAGUCUUCUUUGUUUUCCCUAGAGUUCUAGGGGAUCCCGGUCUUCGUGCUCCGGGAAGUCUUUUAAGAUCCUCACCGGCCGUUUUUGUUUUGUUUUUCCGGGAGUUCUAAGGGAUCCCGGUCUUCUUUGUUUUCCCGGGAGUUCUAGGGAAUCCCGGUCUUCGUGCUCCGGGAGGUCUUUUAAGAUCCUCACCAACCGUUUUUAUUUUGUUUUCCCGGGAGUUCUAGGGGAUCCCGGUCUUCUACCUCUGAGGUCUCUAUGUCUCAGGGUCUUCAGUGCCAGGAGAUCAUGGGGAUCCUGGACUUGUAUCCGGGAGAUCUUGGGGAUCCCGGUCUUCUACCUCUGAGGUCUCUAUGUCUCAGGGUCUUCAUAUUCUGUUCUUUCUUUUUAAAAGAGAAGUGACAUUCAUAAUACAGAUAACAUCAUUGGGUAAAGAAUGUCGUUAUUUUAUUCAUUUGUGUUUUUCAGAGUACAAUAUUUUUCUUUACAAAUAUUUCAAGGGAAAUACCUCUUCAAGUGCUAGAUAUUCCAGGCAUGGGGCUCAGGGUUUCCCUGCAUAUCUUCAAUUCGGUAUACUCCUGGCCUAACCACUUUUGCUAUCCUGAAUGGGCCCUCCCAGGUCGGUGCCAACUUGCCCACUGCCGCUCUUUUUCCCGUAGCUUCCAAGUUUCUUAGGGCUAGGUCCCCUACCUUUAAACUUCUUUCCCUGACCCUUUGGUUGUAGUAAUGGGCUGCCCGUUGUUGAUAAGCAGCAGUUCGGACUUGAGCUUCCUCCCUAAUUUCUUCGAGAGCAUCCAAUUUGCUCCUUAAUUUAUCGUCGUUAGUGUUCUCGUUAACAAAUUGGACUCGAUGAGUGGGGAUUUACAGCUCGACUGGGACUACGGCCUCUGUGCCGUAAGCAAGUGCAAAGGGCGUUUCUUUAGUGGACGCUCUAGGGGUAGUUCGGAGUGCCCACAGGAUACUGUUGAGCUCUUCUGCCCAGUUCGCCUUUGCCCCAUCCAGUCAUUUCUUUAAUCCUUGGAGGAUAGCUCUGUUGGUAACCUCUGUUUGACCAUUAGUUUGAGGAUGGGCUACGGAGGAGAAUUUGUGCCAUAUGCCCACGUUCGUCGUAAAUGCUCUGGAGGUGCUGCAAUCAAAUUGUCUGCCAUUGUUAGAUAUGAGCACUCUCGGUAUGCCAAACCUGUAGAUGAUGUUUCCCCAUACGAAGUCUAUCAUCUUGCGAGCUGUGAUCGUGGCUAUUGCUUCCGCCUCUGGCCAUUUUGAGAAGUAUUCUACAGCCACCACCACGAAUUUUCUCUGCCCCGUGGUCUUGGGGAAGGGUCCCAGGAUGUCUAUUCCCCAUUGCGAGAAUGGCCAUGGACUGGAUAUGCUGGCUUGAGGAGUGGCUGGGACUUUGAUGGCGUUAGCAAAUCUUUGGCAUACGUCGCACCUUCGGACAAACUCUUCUGCUUCUCUUUUAACAGUGGGCCAGUAGUACCCUUGCCUGAAUAUUUUAUUGGCUAAUGUCCCUGUCCCUUCGUGAGCUCCGCACAUUCCCCUGUGUAUCUCUUCCAUCACCUUUGUAGCCUCUUUCGGGCUCACACACCGGAGCCACGGGCUGGAUUUCCCUUUUCUGUAUAAGGUCCCCCUUACUGCUUGAUAGUUGGCAGCACGAGCUGCUAUCUUUCUGGCUUCGUCCUUAUCCUUGGGGAGCUUUUCCUUCUCCAGGUAUUCUAGGUAUGGGGUCAUCCAAGUCGGGCUUUGUUCCACCUGCAGUACCGUGUUUGUUUUACUAAAAGCAGGCGUAUGGACGUGUUGUAUGUACACUUCAUCGGGGAGCUGUUCUAAUUCUUCUUUGGACAACUGACUAAGCAAGUCUGCUUCCUCAUUUUCUUCCCGUGGUAUUCUUCGAAAUUUGAUUGUAACUCCCCGAUCUAUGAGUUCAGCCUCUAUUGCUUUUACUUUUGCCAGGUAGCUCUGCAUGGUUGGAUCUCUGGCCUGAUAUACCCCAGUUAUCUGAUUGACCACCAGUUGUGAGUCGCUAUUUACUUCGAGGUCGGUUGCCCCUACCUCCAUUACCACCAGUAUCCCGUUUAUUAGGGCUUCAUACUCCGCCAUAUUAUUGGAGGCUUUAAAUUCUAAGCGUAGGGCGUAGCAAACCUUAAAUUCUCCGGGCCCCUUAAGCAUUAUUCCAGCACCGCUGCCUCCGGCGCCUGAAGCUCCGUCUACAUAUAACUUUCAGCUGAACUUUUGGGAGAGUUCUUCCUUUCUUUCCUUCCCCGAUACUUCUGAAGAUGAUUCUCCUUGUUCCUCACUGAAUGUGCACUCUGCUAUGAAGUCGGCAAGGGCCUGAGAUUUUAUAGCUGUUCGAGGUCGAUACUCUAGGCAGUAGGGACUAAUCUCAAUGGAUCACGCUAGCAUCCAGCCUGAGGUCUCUGGUCUAUGCAGAAUCUUCUUCAAAGGUUGAUCUGUCAUUACUACUCCUUGGUGGCUUUCCAGAUAAACCCUAAACUUUCGGACUGCCAGUAGUAGAGCGUAUGCUAUCUUCUCAAUAUUCAAAUAUCUGACCUCGGCAUCUUUAAGCACCUUGCUGACAUAGAAAAUAGGCUUCUGCUCUCCUUCUUCCACCCUUACUAAUACGGUGCUGACUGCUUGUUCAGAGGCUGCCAGGUAUAUCAGAAGUUCCUCGCCUUCUAUGGGACUACUAAGCACGUGAGGCGAGCUGAGAUAACUUUUGAGUUCUUUGAAGGCUUCUCGACAGUCUUCUGUCCAUUCGAAGUUUGGCAUUUUCCUCAACUUCUUGAAGAACGGUAAACACUUUUCUGCCGACCUCGACAUGAAUCGAUUAAGUGCCACUACUCUCCCGGUCAGUCUCUGGACGUCCCUCACACAUGUCGGUUCUGGCAUAUUCAAUAUGGCCUCUACCUUCUCCGAGUUGGGCUCGAUGCCUUUCCCACUCACCAUGUAUCCCAGGAAUUUUCCUCCUCUGAUGAAGAAGGCGCAUUUCACUGGAUUCAGCUUCAUUCUGUACUGAUCUAAUAUUCCGAAUACCUCCCUCAAAUCUGCCACGUGCUGUUGGAAAGUUAGGCUCUUGACCACCAUAUCGUCCACAUAAACUUCUACGUUUCUGCCGAUCUGAUCUUUGAAGAUUUUGUUUAUCUGUCUUUGGUAAGUUACCCCGGCGUUUUUCAAUCCGAAAGGCAUGGCUCUAUAGCAAUAAGUCCCAUCUUUUGUUAUGAAUGAGGUCUUUUCUUCAUUCGACCUGUCCAUUGGGAUUUGAUGAUAACCAGACAUUACGUCCAAAGACGACAUAUAAUCGAAGCCGGCCGUAGAAUCAACCAUUUUAUUAAUAUCAGGGAGGGGAUAACAAUCUUUAGGGCAAGCUCGAUUCAGGUCAGUGAAAUCUAUACACAUCCUAUAUUUGCCAUUGGCUUUUUUGACUAGUACAGGAUUAGCUAACCACUGCGGGUACAUGACUUCCCUAAUAAAGCCUGCCUCUUCUAACUUCUGCACUUCCUCCCUGGUGGCUUGUUGCUUCUCCCUUCCUACCACCCUCUUCUUCUGCUUUACCGGCCUGGCUUCGGGGAGGACGUUCAGCUUAUGGGUUAUCACUUCAGGAUCAAUUCUGGGGAUGUCAGAAGGCUUCCAGGCGAAGCUUGACGCGUGACUUCGGAUCAAGGCCAUGACCUCGGUUUUCUGUUCUUUGAUGAGGCCGGCGUUAAGACUAAAGACUUUAUCUGUUUCUGCUUCUGUUAAAGGAAAAGUCUCCAGUUCCCCCACCGGCUCUGUCCUGGCUUCUGUUUUCUCGUCUCGGACCUCCAGGACUUCUAAAUCCAGCCUAUCUUCUAUUGAGCUCGACUCUGCCACCGUAGCUAGGUACACUGCCCUUGCUUCCUCCUGGCUUCCUUGAACUAUUCCCACCCCUGCCUCUGUUGGAAACUUCAUUGCCAGAUAUCUGAUACUGGUGACGGCCUCAAAGUCAAACAGCGCAGGUCUUCCCAUGAUCGCGUUGUAGCUCAAGGGGAGUUUAGCCACCAGGAACACCGUAUAAUGGGUGCGAGUCCUUGGUGCUUCUCCUAAAGUAAGGGCUAGCUUUACUUUCCCUUCCACCUUUACUGGCGUUCCUCCAAUUCCUUUAAUCGGGGCCUGAUCCCGAACCAGCUGCUCUUCGGGGAUUCCCAUUUGCUAGAAGACUUGAUAAGGUAGCAGAUUCACCUUGCUCCCGUCAUCCACCAAGAUCUUCUUUACCCGGUAGUUGUGAAUGACAGCUUCAAUGACAAGGGCGUCGUCAUGGGGCAUCUGAACACCCUGGGCAUCCUCUGGGGAGAAAGUGAUGACCGUUGGAGAGUGUAUGACGACCUGCAUGACCUCAGCGCUGCUGCUUUCUCCCUCUCUACUCCUCUUUUUCCCCCUUCGACUCAUCCGACCUCCUGUGCCUCCGACGAUCAUAUUGAUGGUCCCGCUGGACCCGUCGUUUACGGGGUUAACUCCCGUUCUCCUCGGCGCUUGGACUGCCGGAUUGGGCUGGGGUCUCUGUCCUUCUGGUUUCUUCAUGAAGUUCUUCAGGUGUCCCCUUUUUAUCAGCCUCUCGAUUUUCGUGAUCAACUGAAACAGUUAUUGGUGUCGUGACCAUGAGUACGAUGGAACUGACAGUAUUUGUUAGGAUUUCGCUGGUCGGCUUCCGUUCUCAGGGGUCUGGGCCACUGAAAGAGUUCUUUAUCUUGGACGGCCAUGAGCACUUCGGCUCUAGAAACGUUGAGGGGAGUCGGUGUUUCUGGGACCCACGAGGGGAGUGACCUUUGUUCUGAGGCCCGAUGAGGGAGAGGUCUUUGGUCCCUUCGCUCCCAGGGCUGUCUGUAAGGCUUAGGCCUUUUGCCAUGUCUCUUCUCUUGCUUCUCCGGCCUCCUUUCCUCCGGGGUUUUCUCCUUACCUGCCACUCCCUUGGCGAAUCGGCUUGUCACCAAGGCGUCAUCCUGCCUUAUAUACUUAUCGGCCCGUUUCAUCAACUCGGCCAGUGAGGUCAGAGGCUUCCUAUUUAAUGAGCCAAAGAACUCUGCUGAGGUCGUCCCCUUCUGCAUGGCUUCUACAGCCCUUCCUUCAUCGAGCUCGGAGAUCUGCAGGGCCUCCGUAUUGAAACGAGCUACGUACUCCCUGAGUGAUUCGUCUCUUCUCUGCCUGAUUGUCUCCAGGUAGCUCGUCUUCCUAUCUGCGGGCACUCCGGCAAUAAACCGGCUGAUGAAGCGAGUGGCCAGAUCCCCAAAACUGUUGAUACUCCCAGCCUCGAGGCUGUUGAACCACGCCCGUGCUGUCCUCGAGAGCGUCAUUGGGAAUGCCUUGCACAUCAAGGCAUCUGAUAGAGUCUGCAGCUCCAUGAAAGUCUUGAGUCUUGUAGUUGAGGACAUGCUCUCGGGGGUUUCCGGCUCCAUCAUAAGCCGCCAUUGAUGGCAUCAUAAACUUCUUAGGAACAGUCUCCUGUUGCACCCACUUCGAGAAAGGUGAAGAAGUGGGCAGGAAGGUUUGGCUCUGAUCCUUCUUUCCCAGUUCAGCCAAGAGCUGCUCUCUCAGCUUUUGCAGCUUUUGGUCUACAUUCUCAUCUUCCAGCCUGGGUUUCUUCUCCAGGUGGUAUUCCUCCUCCUCUGCUUCACUUCUCGUUCACCCGGUUGUCUCGGCGGAAUAGUUGUCAGCCUCAUCAUUCUCUAUCAUCUCCCUCACCCUCCUUCCAUGGACUCGGGCCUCCGGCUCUUCCUCUUCCCCGGCUCUUCUCCCCUUUUCUCCGGUACUAUGGCUGUUGGUUUGGAGGCGGUCAAGGGCAGGUUGGGGCUCAUUGGUUUGGGGUUCUUCUACCACUGGGAGUGUAUUUAUCGGGGUGCUGAGGCCCCUUUGUUGCAUUAUCUGCCCCAACCAGUGGACGGUGUUCUGUAGUUGGAGGGCCAUGGUUUGAAGGUCCUAGUUAGAUAAGGUGGUGGUGGGAGCAUUCCCUGCCAAGCUUGGCGAGGGAUCGAGAGGAAUAGGUGUUUGGUUAUUUAGUGUUGUAGGACUAGAAAAGGAGAACUGCUGCCCCUCCUGGGCAGAGCUCAGGUCAUUUGGGAUGUUAAGAUUGCUUUCAUUGCGAUUGGCCAUCGUGGAUCUCAGUGGGUUUUAUUAAGAGUGGAACUCCGGUGAUGAAAAGAUCUCCUUUGUUCCCACAGACGGCACCAAUUGAUAAUUUGAGAUCCAGAGAAAAUAGGGUUUUACAGAGGUUUUUGGAAUAAUAAAAAACUUAGUGCUUAGGGGAAGAUCAUUCUCCUUUUAUUUCUUUUUCUCCUAUGCCAGUGACGUGCAAUGGCCUGGCUAUCAUUGGACCACCUGUCUCUGCCAUAUUGAUACAAUUGUACGAGGAUAUCCGGUACCUGUCUCGUGCGUAACAGCCCCUGAUUCCCUUCGUGCGUGUGUAAAUGGGUCUACAAGGCUGAAGGUGGGACUUUCUUCCCGAUUCUGGGCUGGACCGGGAGAUAGGAAUAAUACUGAGCCCAAGGAGGAUCAGCCUGAGAAGCAGUGAGGGCUGGGCCGGCCUGAGAGGCAAUGGGAACUGGGUCGGCCUGGUUGAGAAAUCCAUAUGGACCCUAUAUCAAGGCACGAACGGGCUGGACCUAUUUGUAUUGGGGUCGCGUGGGCCUCCGAGUGAUGGGCCGUGAUUGAGGGCUUGAUCCCUGACCGGGGUGGAGAAAUCCAGCGGUCAUCAAAAUUAAAAUUUUUUUUGGAUUAAAUAGUAAUUUUUUUUCUAUAAAAAAAUAUUUAAAGAAAAGAGAAAUCAAACUCUAAUUAUUAGGAGAUUUUAAAUAUACUUUUUUAAUCCGUCCAGUGGAUGGUGAACUUAUGUAAAAAAUAUCAUAAUAGAAUGAUCAAAAGAUAUAAGUAUAUAAUAAAAAAAUAUUAAAAAUAUGUUUUAAAGUUUACAAACUGUGUAUUGUUUAAUUUAUUAAAUUUCAAAUCAUACUAAAAAUACCACUAAUAUGUAAAAAUAUAUUAGUAGUUUAUUAAUAUACUUUAACAUAAUCCGAACAGGUGAUAUUUAUGAAUUAUUCGAAUCUAUUCCAUUAAAACACAAGAAAAUUAAGAAAGAAAAAGAAGUGGAUAAACAUACAGCUUUUGAUGAUGUGAAAGAUGAAUAUAGCUACAUCCAUAUUCUGAUUUGAGUGACUUAAGCAAACUGGGUUGACGAUUUGCAAUUCUCCAUGCAUAGGUUUUCAUUACAAACUCAUAUGAUAACAUAAAAAUAAUAAGAUUCAUUGAUAAAAUAAAAAUAAUAAGAUCCGUUGAGAUAGUGACACAUGAAUGUAGAGUAUGAUAAGACUUUAUGCAUUAUUUUAUUCUGUUUGAGGAAAGUCCAACCUAAAGGAUAUAAAAAUUAAAUUUCAGCACCUUAGAUCUUACUAUUAUUCAGAUUAGGUAGGCCGAUCAUUUUAAAGCCCAUAAUCAACGAGUAGAUCUCUCUUAAAUACGUAGGACAUCAUUAGGGUCAUGGUUGUCUAUGUGAUAGAAUUGACAAACAUGACACGCGCGAUGGACAAGUCAUUGGCUAACCGACUCCAUUAACGAGCCGUCUGACAUAUCUGCCGCAACACACUAUUAUUCAAUCUAAGGGGACGUCAACAAAAACGUACCAAGAUGAACCAAUCACAUUCAAAGACAGAUUUUUCAACUUUACCAGUAUAUUACAAACACAAAUCCUUCUCUAAACCUCAAUCUCGACGAAUCGAAUUUCAAUCUUAUUAAUUUCCAAUCAUCUAUCCAAAUUUAUUAACUUUCCCGUGAAAUCAAGCUUAUUGUCCACGUCUUCUUGAAUCCAUCGAAUCUAAGAUAUCAUCAUCAAAAGCUGUAAGAGAAGAAAUUAAUGCAAUUGAUAAAUGAACAAUGAAAAAGAAUUUAAAAUAAAAUGAAAAAUCAAAGUCUAAAUUAGUUCCAUGCAGCAUUACCAUAAAGUGACAGAUCUCUCAAGAGUCAAGACUUUAUGCAAUUCUCUCAAAGCUCCACCUAAAACCUUUCUUGAAUUGAAAGCCAAGCCAAAGCCUUUCACAAGUAAAUGUAAGAUAAAAGAGCAUCAAGUAAUAGAGAGAUAGUGUGUGCAAUAUUAGGUAUGAUACUGUUUAAAAUAUAAAAAUAAAAAAUCACAGAAUUUAGAGAUACACAUGUAUUAGCAAUUUUUUAUAACACAACAUCAAAUACAAAUAUUAUUAGAUUCAACAAUUGCCAUAUUUUCAUCUGACUCAAUAGACACAAUAGAAGCUGAAGUAGACAAUUCCUCAAUAGACCUGGAAUCGAAAUUAAAUAUAAAUAAAAUUAUUAUCUUUUCCUUGAAUUAUAGGCAUAUACUAAAAUAUUUCAAAUGCAUAUAAAUCAAGAAGGGAGAAUUUAGUUUAAAUAAUAAUUUUGGAUGAAGGGAAAAGAUAAUUUAUACAUAUCUAAUCGUCUGAUGAAUCAUGUCAGAACCGUUAAUAACAAUUUUAGGAAUAUGAGCAAUCUUGAACCAAUCUUCACCUUUUCCACGUUCACAUCUUUUGCUCAAUUCAUCACAAUCUUUAAUCUCCAAUUGUUGGAGAGACGCGGUAUUUUGUAUGCAUACUGGCAAUUCUUUGAUAUAUUUACAAUAUUCCAAUUUUAAGAACCGGAGAGUGUUGGAAGAUCCUUGAAGAAGCCAUUCUGGAAAAUCCACCAAUUUUGGUAACAUUGCAAGUAUCAGCUUUUGAAGGUUGAAUUGAGCCAAGUGUUUAUUACUUUUUCCAUUUUCCUCCAAUGUCAAAUUGAGGUUUUCACAAUUGACAAUAUCAAGAAUCUCUAAUGCAGUGAGGUACUUCAUGCUUUGAGGCAAAGAGAUUAAGCUUCCACAACAUCCAAUAAUCAGAGUUCGAAGAUGUUUGAGGCCUUGCAUAUCUUCAAAUAAGUGUUCUAGUUCUUCACAGAAAAAAAUGCCCAAAAAUCUAAGAGAUGUCAAGCACCCUAUUCCAUUCAUCGGCAAACACUUCUGCUUUGUGGAAAACUGUAGAACUCUAAGAUUGAUCAAGUACCUUAUAUCACUAGGUAACUCCUCAAUACCUUCACAUAAUAGUAAAGUUUGUAAAUUGUAUAACUUGCAAAUGGAAUUGGGAAGCUUUUUACAGAAAAAAAUGCGCAAAUAUCUCAAAUGCUUUAGAGCACCAAUCCAAUCUAGUGAUAUUUCUAAUUUGGAAUGAGCCAAAUUCAACAUUCGCAAAUAUUGAAAUCUCAAUAAAUAUGAAUCCAAGUUUGAUUGGCUGCUAGGACUCUUUUCAUCACUCUGGAUUAUGUCAGUUCGCACAUGGUCUAAACCUUGUAAAAGGGUGGAAAGAUCUUGGGGAAGUGAAGUGAAGUUGGGAAAUAGCCUCCCUUUUCAGAAAUGCAGUCAUUUGUGAUAAGAAAAUUGAGGAAAACAAGAUUAUAUACGGAGUAGCUUUUGGGAAUAAAAGUACUUGAAAUAGAAACAAAGUGAUGAUUUGUUUUAAUAGAUUUUAUAAAUUAAAACUGAAUUUUUUUUUAUUUAAUAGAUUUUGUAGAUAGGGUAAAUGAAUAUUAAUCCAACCCAACGAGAUCUCAAAUUUAAUUCUUAUGACGGGUGAGAAAAAUGAAAACUGUUUAAAACAAAAAGAGAAGAAGAAAAUUGCAAUUGAAAAAGUUGAUUUUAAGAAAGAACAAAAAAAUUUAAGAAAAUAAUGCGAUUGGACGAUGAAAUAAAUAAUUAAAUUAAAAAACUUGGUUGAAGGUAAUUAAAGUUGAAAGAUGAUGAAAAUAAAUAAUCAAAUUAAAAAACUCAGUUGAAAGGUUUACCGUAAAACAUUGAUUAAAAAGAUGAUUUAUUUAAUUGUUUAUUAUUUGGUUAUAGUGUUCAAAUAAACGAAUCCAACAAUUAUUUUUUAAAAUUAAAUUAAUUCGCGUAGCGUUUAAAUUAAUUUCUAGUUAAUUAAUAAUUCCAUCAAGGGUAUAGAUUUAAUUAAUUAACUAUUUAAGAAAAAGAAGAACUCAAGCUUCAUCAAUAAUAGUAAGCAAAUUAUUUAAACCAAAUCAAUUAAUUUCUUAAUAUAAACAAAUAUGCUAAUUACUAUUUGUAUUAACAUAAUUAAAUAAUUAUGUAUUUACUUGCGUUAACUAGCAAUAUAUUGUCUUCUUAAAAGAUUCAAUGGAUCUCUUGAAUUUCUAAAAAGAUAACAAUGAGGUGGUGUUUUUCGAAAACAAAAAUUGAUAUAAAUAUAAAUUAAGAACAAAAUCUCACAACUUAAUAAAUUUCACUUAAUUAAUUUUCAAUUGAAAAAUAGAGUUUAGCCUUUAAAGGUUAUAACAAAAUUGCAGAAAAAUAAAAGAAGGAGAAGAAAAAUUCGGUCAAAAAGGAACCGAGAAAGAGAGAGAAGAUGUUGAGAAGAGAUGUGUUAGUCUACUUUUAGGACAACCUUUAUAUAGAUUUUUCUCAAACAAAAACAUAAUUAUUCGUAAUUUAAAAGAAAAAGUAAAAUAAAUCAAUUAUUUUUAGGAUAACUCUUAUCCUAAUCCUGAUCUGAUUGUGUUUUAAUUUAUCUGAAAUAGUUUUGAACCGUGUAUGACAGGCAGAACAGUAAUCCUGUAAUCUGUCUGUUUGGCUUGGAGUCUGGCUUGGAGCAUAACCUUGGGUAAGACUGUACAUUUCAGUCAGAAAAAGUUUUAAAAUAAUCUUUUUUGGGCAUUUUUUCAUUUUCAGCUCAAAAUUUGUCCAAAAUCAAAAUUCAAGUAAAAACCAAUUGUUUAUAUCAAAAUCAUAGCAAAAUUAUGAAAUUUAAUAUGAAAAAAAUGGUGAGUUUUGCAACUCAUUAGAUUUCCCAUACUUAUAGUUUUGCUUGUUCUCAAGCAUAGAAAUUCAAAUCCUUAAAAAAAAAUAAUAAAAACAUAGCCCUGUUCUCAACAAUUUGAAACUUAAUUUGUCUACAACAAAAAGCUAAAUUGUCAUGCAAUAAGAUAAUAGUAGAAAUAGUUUAAUUUCACCAAAGUUCUUUUCAAUAAAUCUCAUUUUUAAAACGUGUUUUUCAAGACGUAAAGUUGACUCUUUAUUCAAUUUCAAGCACACAAAAUAUUUAGAAUGCCAUUAAUAUUAAACUAUCAUUUUGAAAGAAUAAACUCUUAGAAACUCUUGGUUAGACCGAUAAAAUUUAAAGAAUUUGAGGAGUUUUAUUACACUUCCUACUAUAUUUUGCCUGAAACCGGUGAAGUGAAUGUGAAACAAAUGAUUACUGAGUCACUUGCCUCAGAUUAUUCAACUGAGGUUACUACUAGCUCCACUCAUGGUCACAUAACUAAAGGCAUGGGGCGAGUUUUAAACUACCCAAAAUGGGUGAUACUCUCGCAAACAUUGAUUUUUCAUACAGAAUCACCUUAAGAGGUCACUAAAUACCAUACUAUUUGAGCCAUCAGGUUGGUAACCAAAUAACCAAAUGACUAGAGGAGUGGGUAAUAGGAGUCCAAUUUAUAAUUUUUGCUUUUGUUAUUUUUCUCUUUUUUAUAUUACUUUUUCUUUCUUUUCUUGAUGACACCCUUUUAAUUUACACAUAAAAGUAUGUUAUAGACAAUGUGUUUAAAGUCAUUCUUAACAAAGGGCAACAAUUCAUUUAAAAGAUGGAGCUCCCUUAGUUAAAAUGGCAGGAUCCCUGAUGUGGCACAUAUGGAAGGAUCGUAACAUGUUCAUCUUUGAAGGAAAGCAAAAGGUAGCCCUUGAGGUAAUCAGACUUGCGUAUCAGUAUUUUGGGGAUUACAUCUUUGCCAACUCAUCUACUGUUGAAGAAGACAGGGUGGUACCAAAUGAUGCAGCAACUGAAGUCUCCUAGCAAGCUCCUCCUCUAAAUGUAAUCAAAUUAAAUUUCGAUGCAGCCAUUGAUACCAGGAAUUCUAGAGUGAGUGCAGUUGUUUCCCGUGAUCAUAGAGGCCACCUUUUACUUUGGAGCUGUAGGCUUUAGAACCAUAACGUCGAUCCUCUCUUAAUGGAGUGCCUAGCAUGUAGAGAUGCUUUGCUUUUAGCAAAGAAUAGGAGUUUGCAGAGGGUAUUUUUUAGAGUACAUUUAAGAUAUAAAAUCUAAUAAUAUUAUGGACACUAAAUUAUAUCCACGAUAUUUUUUCAGGUAUAUAAAUAUAUAAUAUUCUCUUAGUAUAUUUCAUUCGAAACUUCACAGAAAAAUAAAAAAAUUUUAACCACCGUAAACAUAAUCAAAUUAAUGAACCGUAUUAAAUUUAUAUCAAUUCUUUUCGUGUUUAUUUUUUUAAUCGUGUGAUUGUUGGAUUCUUAACAAAGUGAUUUUGAAACUGUUAUCCAAACAUAUUAGGGGAGACAAGCGCCUUUACUUAUUCAAGAUUUGAUACCAUUAUUAAUAUUUCACAAUGUUUAAAAUUCAAACUUUACAUAAUUAUUUUAUCAUUAAAAAAUAUAAAUUAAGAUGGAUACUAUUUUUAAAAAAAUUAACAAAAUAAUAUAAUAAAUUUCUUAAUAUCUAUUAUAAAUACAUUAUAUAUUAGUACUUAACAAUAAAUUAAAUUCUAAAGAAAAAAAUUAUUAAUUAAGAAAACACAAAGAUAUUUGAAGUUAAAAUAAACAAAUAAUUGAUAAAGCAGUGGAUCCAAGGGGGAAAAAAUAGAAAAAUAUGCAAAUAAAUUCAGACAGAUGAAAAAGGUCUAAAUAAUUAACAAUUUGAAAAGAAUAUUUCCAUUCUAAGGUGAUGAAAAUUGUANNNNNNNNNNNNNNNNNNNNNNNNNNNNNNNNNNNNNNNNNNNNNNNNNNNNNNNNNNNNNNNNNNNNNNNNNNNNNNNNNNNNNNNNNNNNNNNNNNNNNNNNNNNNNNNNNNNNNNNNNNNNNNNNNNNNNNNNNNNNNNNNNNNNNNNNNNNNNNNNNNNNNNNNNNNNNNNNNNNNNNNNNNNNNNNNNNNNNNNNNNNNNNNNNNNNNNNNNNNNNNNNNNNNNNNNNNNNNNNNNNNNNNNNNNNNNNNNNNNNNNNNNNNNNNNNNNNNNNNNNNNNNNNNNNNNNNNNNNNNNNNNNNNNNNNNNNNNNNNNNNNNNNNNNNNNNNNNNNNNNNNNNNNNNNNNNNNNNNNNNNNNNNNNNNNNNNNNNNNNNNNNNNNNNNNNNNNNNNNNNNNNNNNNNNNNNNNNNNNNNNNNNNNNNNNNNNNNNNNNNNNNNNNNNNNNNNNNNNNNNNNNNNNNNNNNNNNNNNNNNNNNNNNNNNNNNNNNNNNNNNNNNNNNNNNNNNNNNNNNNNNNNNNNNNNNNNNNNNNNNNNNNNNNNNNNNNNNNNNNNNNNNNNNNNNNNNNNNNNNNNNNNNNNNNNNNNNNNNNNNNNNNNNNNNNNNNNNNNNNNNNNNNNNNNNNNNNNNNNNNNNNNNNNNNUCAGUAUUGAAGAGUAGGAAAUCUAGAAAAAAUUUGAACUGUAUACUAAAAUUUUCAGCAGAUGGACACAGCUUCAACGAGUAAGCUUGAAUUAAGAUAUCCAAUCAUGAAUACAUCAAUAAAGUUCACAUUGAUACAAAUUAAAAACUCCCAUAACAUCAAUUGCCUUGCUUAUUAUUAUUAUUAUUUUUUCUGAAUAACUGAAUAUUUCAUUCUGUUCAUAUACAAGAUUUUUUGGCCAGUCAUCUUAUUCUGCAGAAAUUGGUCAGAAAUAAAAGAUAAAAGAAGCAUUAAAAAUAUUUAAAUUAAGAAAAAGGAGAGAAAAGAUAUGAAAAGGGAGGAAUGUGAGCCUCUACCUGAAUUCUGUGCAGGUAUGGAAAAGCUUCAGCAUGGAUUCUCAGUCAGUUCUCUAAACACAUUUUUCACUUGGUUUAGAACAUUAUUAAACAUUAGUUUUCAACAGAAAGCAAUUCCAUGAACAAAAAGCAACAGAACCUUGAAGCCAUAAAACAAUGGAAAAUUCACUAAUUGGUCUUGUGAUACAGGGAAGCUCAUUAGUUGAGUUUAAAAAAAUAGAUUAAAACUAUCCUGAAAUUUUAAAAAAUCUACUAAUUAGUCCUGUUGUUAAUUUUAACUGUUAAACGUUUUACUAUUUAGUUCAUGUGAUAUAGAAAAAUUUAUUAGCUGAUUUCUCAGUUUCGUAAAAAUAUCUACUAAUUAUUCCCUUUAUAUCGAGGGCAUUUUAGAUUUUUUUACGGUAUUUAAUGGUUAAAAUUAAUAGACAGACUAACUAGUAGACUUUUUAAAAUCUCAUAAACGUUUUAAUAUAUUUUUCAAAAUUGAGAGACUACCUAAUUAAUUUCCCAAUACCACAAGGAUGAAUUAGUAAAUUUCUCUAAAACACAAGAAAAUUAAGAAAGAAAAAGAAGUGGAUAAACAUACAACUUUUGAUGAUUUGAAAGAUGAAUAUAGCUACAUCCAUAUUCUGAUUUGAGUGACUUAAGCAAACUGGGUUGAUGAUUUGCAAUUCUCCAUGCAUAGGUUUUCAUUACAAACUCAUCUGAUAAUAUAAAAAUAAUAAGAUCCAUUGAUAAAAUAAAAAUAAUAAGAUCUCAACUAAUAAGAUCCGUUGAGAUCGUGACACAUGAAUGUAGAGUAUGAUAAGACUUUAUGCAUUAUUUUAUUCUGUUUGAGGAAAGUCCAACUUAGAGGAUAUAAAAAUCAAAUUUCAGCACCUUAGAUCUUACUAUUAUUCAAAUUAGGUAGGUCGAUCAUUUUAAAGCCCAUAAUCAACGAGUAGAUCUCUCUUAAAUACGUAGGAUAUCAUUAAGGUCAUGGUUGUCUAUGCGAUAGGAUUGACAAACAUGACACGCGCGAUGGACAAGUCAUGGGCUAACCGACUCCAUUAACGAGCCGUCUGACAUUUCUGCCGCAAUACACUAUUAUUCAAUCUAAGGGGACGUCAACAAAAACGUACCAAGAUGAACCAAUCACGUUCAAAGAAAGAUUUUUCAACUUCACCAGUAUAUUACAAACACAAAUCCUUCUCUAAACCUCAAUCUCGACGAAUCGAAUUUCAACCUUAUUAAUUUCCAAUCAUCUAUCCAAAUUUAUUAACUUUCCCGUGAAAUCAAGCUUAUUGUCCACGUCUUCUUGAACCCAUCGAAUCUAAGAUAUCAUCAUCAAAAGCUGUAAGAGAAGAAAUUAAUGCAAUUGAUAAAUGAACAAUGAAAAAGAAUUUAAAAUAAAAUGAAAAGUCAAAGUCUAAAUUAGUUCCAUGUAGCAUUAACAUAAAGUGACAGAUCUCUCAAGAGUCAAGACUUUAUGCAAUUCUCUCAAAGAGCAUCAAGUAAUAGAGAGAUAGUGUGUGCAACAUUAGGUAUGAUACUGUUUAAAAUAUAAAAAUAAAAAAUCACAAUAGUUUAGAGAUACACAUGUAUUAGCAAUUUUUUACAACACAACAUCAAAUACAAAUAUGACUAGAUUCAACAAUUGCCAUAUUUUCAUCUGAGUUCCCAGGCUCAAUAGACGCAAUAGAAGCUGAAGUAGACAAUUCCUCAAUAGACCUGAAAUCGAAAUUAAAUAUAAAUAAAAUUAUUAUAUUUUCCUUGAAUUAUAGGCAUAUACUAGAAUAUUUCAAAUGCAUAUAAAUCAAGAAGGGAGAAUUUAGUUUAAAUAAUUAUUUUGGAUGAAGGGAAAAGAUAAUUUAUACAUACCUAAUCGUCUGAUGAAUCGAUAUCAGAACCGUUAAUAACAAUUUUAGGAAUAUGAGCAAUCUUGGACCAAUCUUCACCUUUUCCACGUUCACAUCUUUUGCUCAAUUCAUCACAAUCUUUAAUCUCCAAUUGUUGGAGAGACGCGGUAUUUUGUAUGCAUACUGGCAAUUCUUUGAUAUAUUCACAAUUUUCCAAUUUUAAGAACCGGAGAGCGUUGGAAGAUCCUUGAAGAAGCCAUUCUGGAAAAUCCACCAAUUUUGGUAACUCCUUAAGCAUCAGCUUUUGAAGGUUGAAUUGAGCAAAGUGUUUAUNNNNNNNNNNNNNNNNNNNNNNNNNNNNNNNNNNNNNNNNNNNNNNNNNNNNNNNNNNNNNNNNNNNNNNNNNNNNNNNNNNNNNNNNNNNNNNNNNNNNNNNNNNNNNNNNNNNNNNNNNNNNNNNNNNNNNNNNNNNNNNNNNNNNNNNNNNNNNNNNNNNNNNNNNNNNNNNNNNNNNNNNNNNNNNNNNNNNNNNNNNNNNNNNNNNNNNNNNNNNNNNNNNNNNNNNNNNNNNNNNNNNNNNNNNNNNNNNNNNNNNNNNNNNNNNNNNNNNNNNNNNNNNNNNNNNNNNNNNNNNNNNNNNNNNNNNNNNNNNNNNNNNNNNNNNNNNNNNNNNNNNNNNNNCUAGGGCGGGCCGUAAUGGCUCCCCCGAGGGACAAAUCCUGCCUGGAACCCGUGAGGGUGAAGGGAUGUUAAGAGCUGCUCACGACGCCAGUGGAAAGCCCGAGGUGGCAAGAGGCCAGGCGAGGGAUAGCCCUGGGCCGUGAGCGGUAACAGUGCCGGGGAUCACGUCCGGGCUGUUACAUAUGUGCCGCAACAAACUACUGUUCAAUCUGAGGGGACGUCAACAAAAAUGUACCAAGAUGAACCAAUCACAUUCAAACACUGAUUUUUCAACUUUACCAGUAUACUACAAACACAAAUCUUUCUCUAAACCUCAAUCUGCACGAAUAAGAUUUCAACCUUAUUAAUUUUCAAUUAUCCAUCAAAAUUUAUUAAUUUCUCGUGAAAUCACGCUUCUUGUCCACGUGGAUACAUCUUCUUGAACCCAUAGAAUCUAAGAUAUCAUCAUCAAAAGCUGUAAGAGAAGAAAUUAAUGCAAUUGAUAAAUGCAUAAUGAAAAAGAAUUUAGAAUAAAAUAAAAAAUCAAAGUCUAAAUUAGUUCCUAUGUAGAAUUGCCAUAAAGUGACGGAUCUCUCAAGAGUCAAGGCUUUAUGCAAUUCUCUCAAAGCUCCACCUAAAACCUUGCUUGAAUUGAAAGCCAAACCAAAGCUUUUCACAAGUAAAUGUAAGAUAAAAGAGCAUCAAGUAAUAGAGAGACAGUUUGUGUAACAUUAGGUAUGACACUAUUUACAAUAUAAAAAUAUAAAGUGAUAAGAGUUUAGAGAUACACAUGUAUUAGCAAUUUUUUAUAAUACAACAACAAAUACAAAUAUUAAUAGAUUCAACAAUUGCCACAUUUUCAUCUGAGUUCCCAGACUCAAUAGGCACAACAGAAGCUGAAGUAGACAAUUUCUCAAUAGACCUGGAAUAAAAAAUAUAAAAAUAAAAAUAUUAUAUUUUCCUCGAAUUAUAUGCAUAUUUCUAAUGCAUAUAAAUCAAAAAGGAGAAUUUAGUUUAAAUAAUAAUUUUAGAUGAAGGGAAAAGAUAAAUUAUACAUACUUAAUCAUCUACUGAAUCGAUGUCCAACUGUCAAUAAUAAUUGUAGGAAUAUGAGCAAUCUUGGACCAAUUUUCACCUUUUCCAGGUUCACAUUUUUCGCUUAAUUCAUCACAGGCUACAAUCUCCAAUUGUUGGAGGGAUGCUAUAUUCUGUAUGCACACGGGUAAUUUUUUGAGAUAUUUACAACUUGCUAAUAUUAAUAACCGGAGAGUGUUGGUAGAUCCUUGAAGAAGCCAUUCCGGAAAAUCCACCAAUUUUGGUAACUCCGCAAGUAUCAGCUUUUGAAGGUUGAAUUGAGCAAAGUGUUUAUCAUCUUUUCCAUUUUCCUCCAAUGUCAAAUUGAGGUUUUCACAAUUGACAAUAGCAAGAAUCUCUAAUGCAGUGAGGUACUUCAUGCUUUGAGGCAAAGAGAUUAAGCUUUCACAAUUUCCAAUAAUCAGUAUUCGAAGAUGUUUGAGGCCUUGCAUAUCUUCAAAUAAGUGUUCUAGUUUUUCACAGCUACCAAUGGCCAAAAAUCUAAGAGAUGUCAAGCACCCUAUUCCAUUCAUCGGCAAACACUUCUGCUUUGUGGAAAACAGUAGAAAUCUAAGGUUGAUCAAGUACCUUAUAUCACUAGGUAACUCCUCAAUACUGUCACUUAAUACUAAAGUUUGUAAAUUGUGUAACUUGCAAAUGGAAUUGGGAAGCUUUUUAAUUCCAGAAUUUCCAUAUAGACGGAGAUAUCUCAAAUGCUUUAGAGCACCAAUCCAAUCUAGUGAUAUUUCUAAUUUGGAAUGAGCCAAAUCCAACAUUCGCAAAUAGUGAAAUCUCAAUAAAUAUGAAUCCAAGUUUGAUUGGCUGCUAGGACUCUUUUCAUCACUCUGGAAUAUGGCAGUUCGCACACGGUCUAAACCUUGUAAAAGGGUGGAAAGAUCUUGAGGAAGUGAAGUGGAGUUAGGAAAUAGCAAAUGGCGAACAUUGUGUGAGAUGUGUGUGGUGCUUGAGGUUAUUGCUAAAAAUUCAUUUUGUGUCAAUGAUAAUGCAAGAUCAUGUACUAGAUCAUGCAUUUUACAUGUAAUCCAUAUGCCCUCACGAGUCUCAAAGUCUUGAAAAAAAGAUCUAGACCCCAGCUCCUGAAAAUAGCGCGACCCAAUAUCUUCCAGCUCUUCAUUUUGGUUUGCUGAUUCAAGAAGUCCAUGUGCCAUCCAAAAUUGAAUUAAUUCCCAGUUAGAGAAUUCAUAGUCCUUUGGAUAAAAAGAGCAAUAAGCAAAGCACUUUUUCAAAUGAGCAGGCAACUGCUCGUAACUUAAUCUCAAAGCAGGUAAAAUAUCAGUUUCCUUCUGCUCUAUCUUCCAUAACUCGCUAUCUCUUAUAGACUUCCAAUAACUUUCAUCAGUAUUCAGAAGAAGAAGUGAUGCUAAUGUCUUCACUGCUAAUGGAACCCCUUUGCAUUUUUUGACAAUUUCAACCCCAAUUUUUAACAAGUUUGGAUAUCGCUUCACUUGGCCUUCUUUAAAUGCAAAUUUAGUAAACAAAGCCACACACUCAUCUUCAGGAAGACCCGAUAACUCAUAUGCUUUUGGGAUGGUGCCCAUAAUGGAGGCUACUUUAUUACUACGUGUAGUUACUAAGAUUUUGCUUCCAUUGGCACCCAUACACAAGAGCUCUUUCAAUUGGUUCCAUUUCAUAGGGUCAUCAUUCCACACAUCAUCUAAGAUGAGCAAAUAUUUCUUAUCACCAAUGAUCUCCCUCAAAAUUCUUUGUAACUGAUCCAUUUCCAUUUUGCUCAACUUCUCUACAUGUCUCAUUCCCUCUUCUGUAGACUUAAUAAUUUUCUCUGUCAAAAUCUUUAUGUCAAAUUCUUCUGAUACACAAACCCAUAUUUGAAGUUGAAAAUGAUUCCUUACCCUUUCAUCAUUAUAAACAAAUUUAGCGAGUGAAGUUUUUCCCAACCCUCCAAUUCCAACAAUAGGAAUGACAGAGAUUUGAUCGCUAUCACUAGAGUCUUGUAAAAGUGUAAUGAUAUUUUCUUUAUCAUCAUCUCUACCUAUAACUUCAGAUGCUUGCACAAAUGAGUGAGUCAGUGCUCUUUCUCUAGGCAUAACAUGCCUACUUUCAUAUCGUUCUAUGAGAUGAAAUUUAGAUUUCUGACUUGCAAUCUCAUCUAAUUUUUCUCUUAUUUGCUUUACUUUUGCACUCAUUUUAAUACGAAAUGCCAUUAGAUUAGAACAUGAAAGAAAGUGACCCACCUGUAAUCCAAAAAUAUACAGUAUUGAUUUCAUAUGCUUACAUUUAGACGUAAUCAGUAACUAAUCAAUUAAUAUAAAAGCAUGCUUUUCUAAAUGACUAUCCGAUUGCAAGUAAUUAUAAUAAUAUUUCAAACUCUACACAGGGCUUUAGUUUUUUAUUCUCAAACUUAAAAUAAUGAGAAAUAUUUGAUUUCGAUCAUAUAUUUUAAAUUUCUUUUUGGAUAUGUUGACAUAUGAAUGGUUGAUUAGUGAGUUUUUUAUAUUAUAAGAACUAAGUAAUAAUUAUUUUAAAUAAUAAUUAUUUUAUAUUAAAUACAGUUUUAUUAUUAUUUUUAUAGUAUAUAUUAACCUUAUAAAUUUUUAAAUAUAAUUAUUUUAAUUUAUUGGAGUUCAUGAUACAAUUUUUAAAAAGUACUAAAAAUUCAAUAAUACGUAUAAUUUUAUUAUUUAUGUUAUUUGAAUUCAUAAAAUAAUUAAAAAAAUUAUUUUUUCAUGAGUUAAUAACAAAAAAAAUUAUUUUUGUUUAUUUUUAUAAUUAUACCCUAUUUUUUUAUAAUUGACCAAUUAAAUUUUACAUUUUAAUAUUUAUUCUAAUUAUACAUUCACGUUAAUUUUUCAUUAAAAACUAAUAAAAUUAUCACAUUAUUUAAUAUAUUAUUGUUAGAUCACUGCUAGUUCAACAAAAUUCAUAAUACAAUUAAUUACGACUUAAAAAGUUAAGGUUUAAUUGAUAAAUUUUUAAAAUUUAAGAUAUAAUUAUAAAUUUUUUUAAAAAUUAUGAUUUUUUUUAUCAUUUAUCCUAAAAUUAAAAUUGAUAAUAUUAAAAAAUAAUUUAUAGUAUUAUUAUAAAUUUUUUAGUUUUAUCAAUGAUUUAGUAUAUCAAUUUUAUUUUAAUUUAAUUUAAAAUUAAAUUACACUAAUUAUUAUUAUAAUUUAAAAAAAUACAUAAUUAACAAUAUGAUUGAAAUUAAAAAGAAAUAUUAUUAUAAAAAAUAUAUUAAAAAAUAAUUAUAAUUAUUUUAUUAUUUUAUAUUUUAAAAAUAAAUUAUGCAAAAUAUAAUUUUAAAUUAAUUUUAUAUUUCACGUUAUAAAAUAUAAUUAAUAUAUAUUAUUAAUCAUAUAACUUUUUUUAACUACAAUGAUGAUCGAUUUAGAUUAAAUUAAAAUAGAUUGAUACACUAAAAUGAUAAAAUUAAAAAAUUUAUAUAGAUUUAAUACGGUUAAAAUAGUAAUAUUUUCAUGAGUUAAUAAAAAAAUUCAUUUUUUUUAUUUUUAUAAUUAUAUUUUAUCUUUUGAAGAAUUAAAUUCUAAAUUUUAAUAUUUGUUUCGACUAGAGGUUCACGUUAAAAACUAACGAAAUUGUCACAUUAAAUAACGCAUUAUUAUCAAAUUACGAUAUUAUUUUAACAAAAUUUAAAAUACAAUUAAUUAUAACUUAAAAAGUUAAAAUUUAAUUGAUAAAUUUUUAAAAUUAGGAUAUAAUUAUAAAUUUUUUUAAAAGUUAAAAUUUUUUAUCAUUCUCUUAAAAUUAAAAUUGAUAAUAUUAAAAUAUAAUUCAUAAUAUUAUUAUAAUUUUUUUAAUUUUAUAAUUUUAAAUUAAGCCACAUUAAUUAUUAUUAUAAUUUAAAAAUGCAUAAUUAACGAUAUAACUGAAAAUAAAAAAAAUAUAUUAAAAAAUAAUUAUAACUAUUUUAUUAUUUUAUAUUUUAAAAAUAAUUUAUGCGAAAUAUAAGUUUAAAUCAAUUUUAUAUUUCACAUUAUGAAAUAUAAUUAAUAUAUAUUAUUAAUUAUAUAUUUUUUUAACUACAAUGAUAAUUAUUAUAAAUUUAAAAAAAUUAAAAUGUGGAUUAAUUUAGAUUAAAUUAAAAUAAAUUGAUAUAAUAAAAUUAAAAAAUUUAUAAUAAUAAUAAUAAUAAUAAUAUAAAUUACUUUUUAAUAUUAUAAAUUUUAAUUUAAAAAAAAUUAAAAAAUUAAACUUUAAAGUAAAUUUAUAAUUACACAUUAAAUUUUAAAAAAUUACUAAUUAAAUUUGAUUUUUUAAAUUGUAAUCAAUUAUACUCGGCACGACAAUGACAUUAAUCUGUAACGAAAAGUUUAAUGUUAGUAUAUAAUUAAAAUAAAUAGAAAAAUAGAAAAAUAUGAGAUUUUUUGUUAUUAACUUUAUUUUCAUUAUUAAACUAUUUUUGUAAUUAAUAAUUUUUUUUAGCAUAUAUUGAAUAUAUAGGAGUAUAUUAAAACGCUAAUAUGUUAUCAUCUAAAAAAAAUUUCUCAUAUCUCGUACUUUUGAGAUAAAAUCAUAUUAUUGUUUUGAGAUUAAAUUUAAUUUUCUUUAAAUUUUAAAAUUAAAUUAUUUUAAGACAUUUUAUUAUUUUGCAGUUGUUUAUAUAUUUAUUUCAUUUGAGUAUAUAUGUAUACUAUAUAAAAUAAAAUAAAAUAUUAAAUUCCUAAAACAUUUCUAUAAUAAAUCUGUUUCUAAAAAUAAAAAAUUCAAAAUUAAUUUUAAUUCUAAUUUUUAACGAGAAUCAUAUUAGAAUUAAAAUCAAAUUACUUGUGAAACCAUUUCUAAAUUAAAGAAAAUUAUAAUUUUUUUUUAUAAAAUUAGAAUUUUAUUUUUUGAAAAAAUAUUGAAUGUGAAAUUUUAUAAAUAUAUAAUAAAUUUAUAUAUGUAUAACAUAUAAUAAAUAUCAGGAUGAAAUAAAAAUAAUUAUAAUGUAAAACUAAAUCGUGUGCCUCGGACCUUUUUGCUGGUGGUUCCAUACAAUUGAAGUACUCGUCUUCUCUGAUCUUCACAUUGAAAUUCAUCAAGCACAUCCUCAGCAUCAUAAAGAGCAUCCUUAAGCUUAGCCAACCACAACCUCAGUGGAGGGUCAUUCACUUGCUUCUCCUCAGCAUCCAUUAGCACAGCUUUCACUGUCAACAAGAUAUCCUCCAGCUUUCUGAGUUCUGCUUUCAAGCCCCAUGCAAAACAUAUCUCUUGGUAGGUAUGGGAUGCUAUCUUCUCCAACACUUUCUCAGCAAUAUUAAAAGCAAACGACUCUAUUGCCAUUUUUGUGGAUUUUGAUUUUUAUCUGAGUAGAAAUUGAGAUAGAUAACAAAAUUUGAAUCAAAAUCCCAUGCAUUUUAUAGCCUAGAAAACUCAUUUGGCAAGCAUCGAGUUUUCAAAGUUGUGAAUUAAAGCAUAAAUUCUAUUAUUUCAGCUGAUGAACUCAAAGAUUAUACUAAAUCUUUGGAGUUUAAAAUUCUAUAUUCUCCCAUCUUCUUACUCAUUCUUGGUGUAGGCAAAAGUUACAAGCAACAUGAUACCUUUGGGCCCAUUUGGUUUAGAAAAUAGAAAUGCAAUAUUGUAUAUAUUAAGCUUAUUUAUAUCAUGUAAAAAAAUAUAUUUAUUUUUUUAUAUUUUUUAAUGCUUGAGAUAUAUUAGUGAAAAUAGUUUUCUUUAUAAUAGAAAACUUAAGUUGCUUUUAAAGAAAAUUAAUUUUUCUUUUAAAGAUCAAGCCAUUUUUUAUAUUUUAAAAUAUAUAUUAAUUAUUUUAAUUUAUACAUUUUUGUUUCUCCCCCUCAAAUCGCCUAACCGGUCUAUCCUCAAUCCCAUAAGUUUUCUUUAUCUCUAUGUGCUCCCUUUCACUGUUCUCUCUACAACUUCAUGGUGAUUUUUCAAGUUUGGUGACUGAUAUACUGGAGAUUUUUCAAGAAAGAGAUUAACAGUGUCACUAAUCAUUCAUUCACACAUUUCACCACCUCUUUCUUCAUGUUGGGAUUUUAACUUGUAUGUGUUUUUUGGGGUUUUGCAAUUGGAUAUUGUUUGCUUUCGGAGCUUAGCAUUUGAUGAACUUUUUUUAUUUUUUAUUUUUUGUUUUUCUAACAAUCAUAAAUCUAUUUUUAUUUAUUUAUUUUUAGUUGAAAUAUUAGUAGUCCUACUUAUGAUAAAACUUGUCUAAACUGAUACUACAUGGACUGGUAGCAUAAUGUAAAAUAGUAGUGCAAUCCACAUAAAAUGCAUGUAAUUAUACUGUAAAUUUAUAUAGAUUUAGUUUAGAUAAGAAUUGUCUCUACUUAUAUAUAGAACAUUUUUUCUUGGUAAAAAUACUUCUUUUUUCCUGAUGUGUUUUUCUCCUCAUACUCGUUUUUUUUUUUUUGGUGGGAUUACCCUUCUGGUAAGAAGACUUUUUAAUUUGAUUAUGCUCUUUUUGCAGUGAGAAUAUAGUAUUUUGAGUUGUUCUAAGAAAGAGAUACAGAAAAACAAGUAGUAAGCAAGAAUAUCUUUUUAUGACAAUAAAGCAGAUGAUUUGUAUUAUCAAUAAUAAAAUUAAAAUUACAGAAACAACAUUUAUGAUAAGAACAAUCAUUUGUGAUUAAAAUUUCAGGUCUAGAGACAAAAGCCUCCCUUCACAGAAAUGCAGCCAUUUGUGAUAAGCAAAUUGAAGAAAACAAGAUUAUGUAAGGAGUAGCUUUUGGGAAUAAAAACAUCUCCCUUCCCACAUUAUGAAGAGUAUACAUGAAAUAGAAACAAAGUGAUUUGUUUUAAUAGAUUUUGUAGAUUAAAACUUAUUUCUCUUUUCUUGAUACAAUAUCUAUAGAUAUUGUAAAUAGAGUGAAUGAGUGUCCAUACCUUAAAUUUAAUUCUUAAGACAAUGAGGAAAAUGAGAACUGAUUAAAACAAAAAGAGAUAAAGAAGUAAAUUGCUAUUGAAAAAAUUGAUUUUAAGAAAGAAAGAAAAAAAAGCUUCAAGAAAAUAAUGCGAUUGAAUGAUGAAAUAAAUAAUCAAAUUAAAAAACUCAGUUGAGGAUAAUCAAAGUUAAAAGGUUUACCGUUGAUCAUUGAUUAAAAAGAUGAUUUAUUUAAUUGUCCAUUGUUUGGUUAUAACAUUCAAACAAGUGAAUCCCAAUAAUUCUUUCUAACGAUUAAAUUAAUCUACAUAGCGUUUAAAUUAAUUUCUAGUUAAUUAAUAAUUUCAUUAAGCGUGUAGAUUUAAUUAAUUAACUGUUUUUAAAAAAGAAGAAUUCAAACUUCAUCAAUAAUAGUAAGCGAAUUAUUUAAACUAAAUCAAUUAAUUCCUUAACAUAAAUGAAUAUGCUAAUAUCUAUUUGUAAUAACCUAAUUAAAUAAUUAUGUAUUUACUUGGGUUAAUUAGCAAUAUAUUGUCUUAUUAGGAGAUUCAAUAGGUCUCUUAAAUUCCUAAAAUGACAACAAUGGAGGUGGUGUUCUUUGAAAAUAAAAAUUAAUUGAAAACAGAAAUUCAGAUAAACAGAAAUUAAGAACAAAAUCUCACAACUUAAUUAAAUAUCACUUGAUUAACCGUCAACUGAAAAAUAGAGUUUAGCCUCUAAUUAAGAGCCAUAACAAAAUUGUAGAAGAAUAAAAGAAGGAGAAGAAGAAUUCGGUCAAGGAGGAACCGAAAAAAAGAGAGGAGAUGAUGAGAAGAGAUGUGUGAUUCUACUUCUAGGGUAGCCUUUAUAUGGGCUUUUUCCAAAUAAAAAGAUAAUUAUUCACAAUUUAAAAGAAAAAAUAAAAUAAAUAUAUUAUUUCUAUGAUGACUCUUAUUCUAAUCCUAAUUUGAUUGUGUUUGCAUCUAUUUGAAAUAGUUUUAAACUGUGUAUAGCUGGCAAAACAGUAAUUCUGGAAUUUGUCCAUCGGGCUUGGGCCUUUCAGUUAGAAAAAGCUUUAAAAUAGUCUUUUUUGGUUAUUUUCUCAUUUUUCAACUCAAAAUCUGUCCAAAAUUAAAAUUCAAGUAAAAAUCAAUUAUUUAUAUCAAAAUUAUAGCAAAAUCAUGAAAUUUAAAAUAAAAAAAAUAGUGAGUUUUGCAACUCAUAAGAUUUCCCUAUACUUCACCUUUACUUGUCCUCAAACAUAGAAAUCCUUAAAAGAAAACAAUAAAGACAAAACCCUCUCCUCAACCAUUUGAAACUUAAUUUGUCCAAAACAAAGAGCCAAGUUGUCAUGAAAUAAGAUAAUAGCAGAAAUAGUUUAAUUUCACCAAAAUUUAUUUCAAUAAGUUUCAUCUUUAAAACAUGUUUCUCAAGACAUAAAGCUGACCCUUUAUUCAAUUUCAAGUAUACAAAAUAUUUAGAUGCCAUUAAUAUCAAACUACCAUUUUGAAAGAAUAAACUCUUAGAAACUCUUGGCUAGACCGAUAAAAUUUAAAGAUUUUGAGAGUUUUAUUACACUUCCUACUAUAUAUUAUCUGAAAUUGGUGAAGUGAACGUAAAAUAAAUGGUUACUGAGUCACUUGCCUCAGGUUAUUUAGUUCAGGUUGCUACUAUCUCCACCCAUGGUCACAUAAUUGAAGGCAUGGGACGAGUUUUUAAACGAUCCAAAAAGGGAGAUACUCUCCCAAACACUAAUUUUUCCAUACAUAAUCACCUUAAGGGGUCACCAAAUACCAUGGGCCAUCGAAUGCAUCAAUUUAAAAUUUACUUCCUUUUUAUUGAUUGAUAAGAACUUAUAGAUAAGAUAAGUGAGUAUCAAUCCCUCAUAAAACUUAAUUCUAUUUAAUUUAAAUAACCAAUUGGAAUAGAAGAAUGGUUUAAUAAAAAAAUGAGAAGAAGAGAGCUUUUUUUUAUGAAAGUAGUUUUGCCUUGGACAAGUCAAGAAAAAUAAACUUAAAAGAUAAAUAAUAAAUAAUGCAAUUGAAAUUUCAGAAAUAAAUAAUUAAUUAAAACUUUCAGCAGGGCAGAAGGUAAUCAAAUUUUGGUGUUUUGUAGUUGAUCAUUGGUUAGAAAAAAAUAAUUUAUGUUAUUAUCUAUUAUUUGGCUAUAGUGGUCAAACACGUGAAUCCUACCGAUUCUUCCUUAUGAAUAAAUUAAUCCAUUUCGCGUUUAAAUUAAUUCAUAAUUAACUAACAACUCUAACAUGCAUGUAGAUUUAAUUAGUUAGAGAGAAGAACCCAAACUUGAUAAAAAAAAACACGCGAUUUAUUUAAAUUAUUCCUAACAUAAACUAAUAUGCUAAUUGCUACUUGUUAUUAACCCAAUUAAACAAUCAUGGAUUUAAUUCAAUUAAUUAGCAAUAUACUGUCUUUCCAAUAGAUUCUCAAGAAAACAACAAUGUAGGGGUGUUCCUCAAAUUCAGAAAUUAACGGAAAAUAGAAAUAAGAUGAAAAAAUUGAAGCACGUAACCUCACAGUUUGAAUAAAAUCUCAAUUGAAAUUAACUUUCAGCUAAAAAUAAUUGUUUAGCCUCUAAGAGGAAUAAUAAAAUUAAGAAAAAAAGAAAAAGAAGAAGAUGAGGAAGAAGGUGGGGGCAGCAGCUAAAGAGAAGAGGAGGGAGAGAGAGAAAAAAAUAUGAUAUUUUAAGUUUAAAUCUAGGAGCCUUUAUAAUUAUUUAAAAUAAACUCUAUUACUCCUAUUUCAUCCAUAUCCUAAUCUGAUUGUUUUUUUAUCCAACUUGAAACUUAUUUAAAACUGCUGCGGUGGUGAAACUUCCCAUCGCUUAGGUUACAGAUUUGGUCAAAAUUGCAAUCUUUCAGUUCAAAAAUUCUUCAAUUCAGCUUCUUUUCAUUUUUUUUCUCAACUUCCGCUAAAAAAACCUGUCCAAAAUUAAAUUUCAAAUAAAAAUGAAUAUUUAUAUUAAAAUCAUAACAAAAUUAUGAAAUUAAAUAAAAAAAAAGUUAUGAGUUUUGCAACUAUCACAAAGUUGUAUUUUAAUUAACUUUCCUAUUUCUGUGGCUCUUAAAAGUUGUAUUUUAAUUAACUUUCCUAUUUCUGUGGCUCUUGAUUUAAGAAAAAUUUAUUAGGCUCUUUAAUUAAUUUUGAAACUCUUUCAUACUCUUAAUCAAUUUCUUAAAUAUAAGAUUAUAGGUUCUAAUCCUUUAUUUUCCAUCAUUAAUUUUCAUCCAUUAAUACAUUAAUUAAUAAUUAAAAAUAUGACUUGGUUGGUCAAAUACAAAGCAAGAUAAUAAACCACAAGGAAAAUAAUAAAGCAUCAAAUACCCAACUCAUUAAUAGAAAAUAGUUUAAAUUCAAAAUUAAAAUAGAGUAUUACAUACUUAAUUUCUAAAUCUAAGAAAACUACUCAUUAAUCAUGCUAUUUAUAAGAAAAAAUUCAAAGUAAGAAUAAAGGAUACAUGAAAUUAGUAAAGAAGAAGAAAAAUCCAAAUGAAAAACUAUUCAAAUAUUAAAAAUCUAUGCGAAGAGAGUCUCCAUUUGUGAAGUUGCAGCUACCCCUCAUUUUCUCCAAGAGAUUUUUACGUUAAUAGUGUAGAGAAAAGGUGAGGAAGAUGAUUCCAGUGUUCUAUUAUAGUCUUCUCUCCCUUCAAAAUGAAGAAAAAGACAAACAUAUACUCUCAAAAAAUCUGACUAGUAAAGGUAAAAGUUGUCAUUUGUUAUAGAAAUUAAAUACUAAUUUCUACACAUAUGGAUGAGGUGGCAGACUAACAGACAUAAGCUAUAACACAACUUUAUAGCUCCUUAUAUAACUUUUUCCUGCAAAAUAAAAAUAAAAUUACCUAUAAAAUACUAAUAAAAAGCAAUUAAAAUUAUUAAAAAUAUCAAAUAAAUAAAUAAAAAUUACUUAUGUAAACAAAAAUAAAUGCAAAAUAUACUUAAAAUAUAUAUAAAAAUUGAGGUUAACAGCAUUCAAUGAUUUGAAAGUUGAAAUUUGUUACAUCCAUAUUCUGAUUUGAGUGACUUCAGCUAAGUGGGUUGAUGAUUUGUAAUUCUCCAUGCAUGACUAGUUCAUUUAUUAAAUUCAUCAAAUUUAUAAAGAGAAGAAAGGCUGAUAAAAGAAAAAUGAAAAGAAUCUAAAAUAAAUGAAAAAUGUGUCUAGCUAAAGUAGUUCCCGUGUAGCAUUUUCAUAAAGUGGCAGAUCUCUCAAGACUUUAUGCAAUUCUCUCAAGCCUGAACUUGAAAACUUGCUUGAAUUGAAAGCCAAGCCAAAACUUUUCACAAGUAACUGUAAGAUAAAAUAGCAUCAAGUAAUAGAGAGACAGUUUGUGUAACAUUAGGUAUGACACUAUUUACAAUAUAAAAAUAUAAAGUGACAAGAGUUUAGAGAUACACAUGUAUUAUUAAUUUUUUACAACACAACAUCAAAUACAAAUAUUACUAGAUUCAACAAUUGCCACAUAUUCAUCUGAGUUUUUCAGGCUCAAUAGACACGACAGAAGCUGAAGUAGACAAUUCAUCAAUACACCUGAAAAUUGAAAAUAUAAAUAAAAUUAUAAUAUUUUCCUUGAAUUAUAUGCAUAUACUAGAACAUUUUAAAUGCAUAUAAAUUAAAAGGGAAAAUUUAGUUUAAAUAAUAAUUUUAAAUGAAGGAAAAAGAUAAUUUAUACAUACUUAAUCAUCUGCUGAAUCGAUAUCAGAACCGUCGAUAACAAUUUUAGGAAUAUGAGCAAUCUUGGACCAAUCUUCACCUUUUCCACGUUCACAUCUUUCGCUCAAUUCAUCACAAUCUUCAAUCUCCAAUUGUUGGAGAGAUGCUAUAUUCUGUAUGCACACAGGCAAUUCUUUGAGAUAUUUACAACUUUCUAGUUUUAAGAACUGGAGAGUGUUGGUGGAUCCUUGAAGAAGCCAUUCUGGAAAAUCCACCAAUUUUGGUAACAUCGCAAGUAUCAGCUUUUGAAGGUUGAAUUGAGCCAAGUGUUUAUUACUUUUUCCUUUCUCCUCCAAUGUCAAAUUGAGGUUUUCACAAUUGCCAAUAGCAAGAAUCUCUAAUGUAGUGAGGUACUUCAUGCUUUGAGGCAAAGAGAUUAAACUUUCACAAUCUCCAAUAAUCAGUGUUCGAAGAUGUUUGAGGCCUUGCAUAUCUUCAAACAAGUGUUCUAAGUUUUCACAGUUAGCAAUGCCCAAAAAUCUAAGAGAUGUCAAGCACCCUAUUCCAUUCUUUGGCAAAAACUUCUGCUUUGUGGAAAACAUUAGAUAUCUAAGGUUGAUCAAGUACCUUAUAUCACUAGGUAACUCCUCAAUACCUUCACAUAACAUUAAAGUUUGUAAAUUAUGUAACUUGCAAAUAGAAUUGGGGAGCUUUUUAAUUCUAGAAUUUCCAUGUAGAUGGAGAUAUCUCAAAUGCUUUAGAGCACCAGUCCAAUCUAGUGAUAUUUCUAAUUUGGAAUGAGCCAAAUCCAAUAUUCGCAAAUAUUGAAAUCUCAAUAAAUAUGAAUCCAAGUUUGAUUGGCUGCUAGGACUCUUUUCAUCACUCUGGAAUAUGGCAGUUCGCACACGGUCUAAACCUUGUAAAAGGGUGGAAAGAUCUUGGGGAAGUGAAGUGGAGUUAGGAAAUAGCAAAUGACGAAUAUUGUGUGAGAUGUGUGUGGUGCUUGAGGUUAUUGCUAAAAAUUCAUUUUGUGUCAAUGAUAAUGCAAGAUCAUGUACUAGAUCAUGCAUUUUACAUGCAAUCGAUAUGCCCUCACCAACCUCAAAGUCUUGAAAAAAAGAUCUAGAUCCCAACUCCUGAAAAUAACGCAACCCAAUAUCUUCCGGUUCUUCAUUUUGGUUUGCUGAUUCAAGAAGUCCAUGUGCCAUCCAAAAUUGAAUUAAUUCCCUGUUAUAGAAUUCAUAGUCCUUUGGAUAAAAAGAGCAAUAAGCAAAGCAUUUUUUCAAAUGAGCAGGCAACUGCUCGUAACUUAAUCUCAAAGCAGGUAAAAUAUCAGUUUCCUUCUGCUCUAUCUUCCAUAACUCGCUAUCUCUUAUAGACUUCCAAUAACUUUCAUCAGUAUUCAGAAGAAGAAGUGAUGCUAAUGUCUUCACUGCCAAUGGAACCCCUUUGCAUUUUUUGACAAUUUCAACCCCAAUUUUUAACAAGUUUGGAUAUCUCUUCACUUGGCCUUCUUUAAAUGCAAAUUUAGUAAACAAAGCCACACACUCAUCUUCAGGAAGACCCGAUAACUCAUAUGCUUUUGGGAUGGUGCCCAUAACGGAGGCUACUUUAUUACUACGUGUAGUUACUAAGAUUUUGCAUCCAUUGGCACCCAUACACAAGAGCUCUUUCAAUUGGUUCCAUUUCAUAGGGUCAUCAUUCCACACAUCAUCUAAGAUGAGCAAAUACUUCUUAUCACCAAUGCUUUCUCGCAAAAUUUCUUGUAAUUGCUCCAUUUCCAUUUUACUCAAGUUUUCUACACCGUAUCGUUUUCCAAUCUCUGUAGAUUUAAUAAUUUUCUCUGUCAAAAUCUUUAUGUCAAAUUCUUCUGAUACACAAACCCACAUCUGAAAUUGAAACUGAUUCCUUACCCUUUCAUCAUUAUAAACAAAUUUAGCCAGUGAAGUUUUUCCCAACCCUCCAAUUCCAACAAUAGGGAUAAUAGAGAUUUGUGCACCCUCACUAGAAUCUUGUAAAAGUCUAAUGAUAUUUUCUUUAUCAUCAUCUCUACCUAUAACUUCAGAUGCUUGUACAAAUGAGUGAGUCAGUGCUCUUUCUCUAGGCAUAACAUGCCUACUUUCAUAUCGUUCUGUGAGAUGAAAUUUAGAUUUCUGACUUGCAAUCUCAUCUAAUCUUUCUGUUAUUUGUUUUACUUUUGCACUCAUUUUAAAACGAAAUGCAAUUGGAUUAGAACACGAAAAAAAGUUACCCACCUGUAAUCCAAAAAUCUACUAAUUAAUCUCACUAUCAAUUUUAACAGUUAAAUGUUAUAAAAAAAAUUCUCACAUGUUCUCAAUAUAAAAGAACUAAUUAGUAGAAAUUUUUACAAAAUUGAGAACCAAUUAAUAAAUUCUGAGACUAAAUACUAGAAUAUUUAAUAAUUAAAACUAAUGAAACGACUAAUUAAAAUAUUUUUAAUACCUUAAAGACGCUUAAUGUACUUUUUCAAAAUAAAGAGAACAACUAAUGAAUUUUUUCAUAUUAUAUGAAUUAAAUAGUAAAUUUUCCUUCCACAAAAUUAUAAAUGUCUUUAAUAUGGAAAGACUAAUUAGUAUGUAUUUUUAUAAAAUUUAAACACUAACUAAUGAGUUUUUUAUAUCACGGGAUUAAAUAGUAAUAUAUUUAAUAAUUAAAAUUAAUCAAAAAACUAAUUAGUAGAUGUUUUAAAAUAUAAAAGACGUUUUUGUAAAUCAAAAAAUUAAUUAAUGAAUUUUUCUAUAUUAUAAAAAUUAAAUAAUAAGUUUUUUAUAAUAAUAUAAAAAUAUAUUUUAAAAAUUAAUUAAAUAAAUAUGUAUUUAAAAACAUGCAUUUGAUUGAAUGAGAUGAAAUUUUAAAAUUUUUUAAUAAUAAUCUAAUAAAAGUUGUAAAGAAAAUAAGAAAAUUCAUAUUUAUAGUUUUUUAUUUUUAAUUUUUUUUUAUUUCAAAUAUUUUCUAAUAAGUAGUUAAAAUGAAAGCUUAAACGAAUAAAUUUUAUAUUUUUUAUAAAAUAAAAAAUAAAAAAUAAAAAAUAUGUAUUUAAAAACAUGCAUUUGAUUUGAAGAGAUAAAAUUUGAAAAUUUUUUAAUAAUAAUCUAAUAAAAGUUAUAAAGAAAAUCAAAGAAUUAAUAUUUGUAGUUUUUUUAUUUUUUAUUUUUAUUUAUUUCAAAUGUUUUGAAAACGCAAGGCUAUUAAAGAAUAAAUUUUAUAUUUUUUUACAAAAUAAAAAAUAAUAACGAUAAUGAACGCACCUAAAUGUGUUAUAAAAAAUUAAACUCAAAAUUAAUGUUCUGGGCUUGUUUUUGUUCUUUUACAAAAAAUUGAGAUUGAGAGAUUGAAUUUAAAUCUUUUAAGGUUCAACUUAAUAUAUUUACUAUAAAUCAAGUAUGUGAGUGUAAUAUUGUAGUAUUAAUUGAGAUUUAUAUAUUGUUUUAAAAAUAUAAAAAUUAAUUAGAAUCAAAUUAAAAAAAAUUAAUAUAUAAAUUUAUUUUAAUUCAAUUUUUUCUUUAUAUGGUUUGAUUUCAAUUUGUAAUACAUAUUAAAUUUAUGUAUCUAUAACAUAACUCAAAUAUCAGGGUGAAAUAAAAAUAAUUAUAAUUCUGAUUUUAUUGUAUUUUUUAAAUAGAAUUAAAUUAAUUUAUAUCGUUGAAUUAUGUUAAUAUGGUAAUAUUUUUAUUAAAAAAUGUACUAUCCUGUAAUUAAUUUUCUAAAAAAUAGAGAAUUAUAUUUCAAUUCAUUAACACGACAUGAAAUUUCAAAAUAAAACGAAAUCGUGCGCCUCGUACCUUUUUGCAGGUGGUUCCAUACAAUUGAAGCACUCGUCUUCUCUGAUCUUCACAUUCAAAUUCAUCAAGCACAUCCUCAGCAUCAUAAAGAGCAUCCUUAAGCUUAGCCAACCACAACCGCAGUUGAUGGUCAUUCACUUGCUUCUCCUCAGCAUCCAUUAGCACAGCUUUCACUGUCAACAAGAUAUCUUCAAGCUUUCUGAGUUCCGCUUUCAAGCCCCAUGCAAAACAUAUCUCUUGGUAGCUAUGUGAUGCUAUCUUCUCCAACACUUUCUCAGCAAUAUUAAAAGCGAAUGACUCUAUUGCCAUUUUUGUGGAUUUUGAUUUUUAUUUGAGUAUGAAUUGAG